Molecule: long non-coding RNA, 79687 nt
Filed under: Triticum aestivum (bread wheat)
Lineage: Eukaryota; Viridiplantae; Streptophyta; Magnoliopsida; Poales; Poaceae
Description: long non-coding RNA (TAES_LNC000463)
Source: RNAcentral
UUAAAAACCCUAACAUCUAAGGUCUAUUUCAACUUCCACAUGAUAUUCUUCAGCUUUAUGUAUGACGUGGUCAAAAAAGAAUCCCGCCAAUUCCUCUUGAAUAGCUCGUAUGCGAUCAUGGUAGGAGUUCAUCCCGCAUCUGCUACAUCUAUUUAAAGAAGUGGGUCAAUACAUAUAUAUGAAUGAAACUCAACACAAGUGAUGGUAAUAAAAUAAAAUUGUGAAUUCUUUUGUUUACGUACCUCAUAUUGUUUUCCAGAGUAGCCCCGCUUAGAGGCCGUCAAGUUACAGAUGAACUCGCAAACGUAGUAUCCACAAAAAUCAUUCCCGGCUUCCUGCCACAAAGCACUUUAUGAGAAAUAGAGUUCAAUCAAACUGGUAAUCAAGCAUGCUAAAUGGUAUUGAUGAAACUAGCUACAAUCAAUGGGAGAUGCGCGGAACUAGCUAGUAGUACUUACUUUCGGGUGUUUAAAUUACAGCUCUGUCGGCAUUCCCGGUGUCAUUACGGUGAACUCUUUCCAAACCCUUCCAGACAAAGAAAAUAAUUACUUGAUAUCCAGGAAAUGAACAAAGUUGUCGAUAUGGUGCGAUAAUGAUCGAUUGAACUUACUUCUGGAGCAUAUCAGUCAUGUCCACAUACUCUUGGGGAUAUUUUCUUCUCAAGUCUAAGGCAGUUACUAUUCCAGCUCCAAGCUUAAUUAAUCUCUAGCAAAAUAAAGUGGAAUCUGCGCACGCAUAACUCAUCAAUUACAUUACUAUAAUUAACCUCGAGUAAGGGAAACCGAAUAUACACAAGACAGUAACACUCACUUAAAGUUGUAAGGAAAGAGUAUUUUAUCUUUGUUUUGAUUUUUAAGCAACGAUUGUAGCAAGUUGUCCUCGGUUUCAGAGACAUUGUGUUUGACCGUCCAUUCAUGUAAGACAUUUGGGUUAAUGAACCCAAUGUCAUAGAUAUCUGUUUUUCUGCAUUCGACGAUCUUCAACCUGCAUAAUAUAGUAAGGAUAAUUAUAUAUACAUGAAAAUGAAAGAGCUGAGCUAUAUAUAGAGACUUAAUUAUUACAGAAGUAGUACUUACAGACAGUAGCAAGUCACGCGUGUUUUGUCGAGGGCCUUUUGAUUGUAUAACUGGAAUAACUUGUCAAGUUAAAUAUUCAAAAUAUCCGGUCCAACGAGGUCUUACUCCUCUUUAAUUCUCAUAGUCAAAGUAUGCUUCCCAGACUGGCGGCAUCUUUCCAUGUACCAUUCAUGGAGUGUUCGCAUCAUUGUUGUUAGAGGAGGAUGAUGAUCAGGUUCGACGAGAGGCUGCCCGUACUGGAAUCUGAAUUCGUCCACCUCCCUUGUUUCAAACUCUAUAUCAUUGAUCAGGUAAUCGGCAGGAUUGGUACCGGGCACCAUCCCCGGAUGAUUAGCGACGAUAUCGCUAGACACCUUGAGUGGGGGCAUGUUUGCUUCGCCUGUUCGUCGAGCUGGAGAAUUUUUUUCCCACUUCUUCGUUCUGCUAACCUUGCAUCACUGCAAGUACUUCCCAACCGCUCUGCUUCCUUAUAUGCCUUUUUAAUAGUGCGCACAUAGUUGGAAUCUGGCGGAGGCGGUGGUGGUCCCUUCAGGGCAUCGAUAGUCUGCUUCACUUUCACUAGAUCUAUCUUUUCCUUCGGAGGUGGAGGUUUCCGUGCAAAAACGUCCCUCACUUGGGCACGACUGAUGUCCUCAUUUUCCUUGUCGGUCCUCUCAUCACAUUAAAACUAAAGUACAUACAUAGUUCUCAUUAAACAACAUAUAGCUCUCCAGAGCCUCUAAUUAAAGCAUACAUUGAAACCAUGUAAAACAUUUAAAUGCAACAACAAAUGCGAUCAUAAUCGCAACUAAGAUAACAAUUGAUCCAAUGGCAUAAUGAUAUCAAGCCUCAGUAUGAAAUGUAAUCUUUCUAAUCUUCAAGCGCAUUGCAUCCAUCUUGAUUUUGUGAUCAACAACGACAUCCGCAACAUGCAACUCCAAUAUCAUCUUCUCCUCCUUAUUUUUUUUUCAAUUUUUCCUUCAAGUAAUUGUUUUUUUCUUCAACUAAAUUUAACCUCUCGACAAUAGGUUUGGUUGGAAUUUCCGGUUCACAUACCUCCUAGAUAAAACAAUCUAUGUCACGUUGGUCGGCAUAAUUGUCAUAAACACUAAAUGAACAAAAAUAGUUAUAAAAGAUAAUAUAUAUACCACAUCCGAAUCAUAGAUAGGACGAGGGCCGACGGAGGCGGAUACCAAAAACCAUCGCAUUAUAUAAUAAUAAACAAUAAUAAAAGUAAGAAAAUUACACAAGUAUCUAUCUAAAUCAUACAAGUAAGAACUUUUUUUUCGAUCAAGAGGCUCACCACGGUGGUGCUGGCGAGGAGAUCGGCGCGGGCGAUCGACGGCGGUGAGGAUAGGGACGGGACAGGACGGACCGCCAAACCUAGACAAAUUUAGAGGGAAAUGGACUUUGGACAAGGAACUUCGAGAGGAGAAAACUUAAGUGUGGCGCGGGCAUUUCAUCGAACACCUCGUGUGCAUAGGAGGUGAGCUAGAGCACCACAAAGCUCUCUCCAACGGCCGGCCAAAAAAACAGAGCACUCCACUGCUCUGCUCGUGGGUAAGAGGGUAUAUAUAGGUAUCUCAUUGGUCCCGGUUCAUGGCUGGAACCGGGACUAAAGGAGCACAUUUGGUCCCGAUUCCAGCCACGAACCGAGACUAAAGGUUGUGGCCAGGUGCGAGGCCCAUUGGUCCCGGUUCGUGUCUGAAACCGGGACCAGAGGGGCCAGAUGAACCGGGACCAAUGCCCCACGAGGCCCGGCCGCCCCCCUGGCCUCAUGAACCGGGACCUUUGCCCCCAUGUGUCCUGGUUUGUGACUGAACCAGAAUUAAUGAGCUUAUGUGGCCUGGACCGAAGCCCUGUUUUCUACUAGUGUAUGAUCGAAUAUGCUACUAAUAUUGUUCAAGAUAAAGCUCUAAUUGUUAUUGAUCAUGAAACUACUCAUGAGCUGACUAGGGGAGCAAGCAUGGAGUUGACACGGUGGACUAGUAUGAAGCAAGGUGAUGCAUGCGUUCUUCCAUGGAAGGUCUUUUCUUGGUAACUACAAAUACAAGGCAAGGCGGCGUAUAUUAUAUUUGUCCCUGCCAUGCAAGAAGGCUUACAAGUAGAUACGGGCAGAAUAUUUAAUGCUUGGAGUUUUUCUUUUUUGCUAAAGGAAGUAGGAUGGGGCCCUUAAAAAAAGAUGGCAUACAAGGUUAAGCUAGCUAGAAAAUGCAAUCUAAGAUGUAAAAGGAUUGAACUCUUACCUUUUAUAUAGUACUAGUUGUUUUCUUUUCAAAGUUGUGUGCGUGCGUGAGGGGUUUAGCCUAGGUUCAAGUAGUCAUUCAAAGCAAUAGUGUGUGGAUGUAACAGUUAGGUUCUUUUUUUUAAAUACUAACAAAAAUGCCGGUGCGUUGCAACGGAAAAAAAAUAACACACGUUCUUAACCUAAUAACCAUGCCUCAAGACCUUAAUAGGCCCGCGUAUGUCAUCACAUUUGUGUUGCCAACGGUGACCUCAGUGCUCACACAACGAAAACGCGUUUCAAUGUGGUCAGUCCUAAGAUCUCUCUCUCGCGCGCGCAUGCACGCACACUCGCUCGGAAUAAGAUGGAAAAUAUGUUGUUUUUUCCCGCAAGGUUUUUCAUAGGUGAGCAUGCAUGGUUCCCGAUGUUUUUUUCUCUCACUCUAGUUUUAAUAGAUCUUUAUUUGCAAUUCGAAUCACCGAUGGUAUGAAAGAAAAACAGACCGUGUACUAUAGAUUAAGUUUGCAGGAAAAAUAAUAUUUUAGAAAUAUUUGAUAGCUAAAAAUAACAUCAUAUUUAUAUUCUACAUAUUUUUCUAAUCAAAUUUCCUAUAUAACAUGUUAAAAUCGAAGUUACGGUUUAAAAGAUAUGGAUAAUCUUGUUUUACAUAAAGUGUGGAUUGAUUAACCGAAACAUCAAGGGGUUUCCCGACCAUUUUUUCUAAAUUGUGUUUUUUUAUAAUUUUGCGAACAGCUUUGCAAAACCACAAACAUUUUUUGAAUCUGUAAUUUUUUUAUGAUUUUCUAAACAUUUUGAAUGCACAUAUAUUUUAGGAUUUCUCAAACAUUUUUUUUUGAAAAGUCGCAACUUUAGAAUAUUAAAAUCCCAAAUUAAUGUAAAGAAGAAAGAAGAAAGAAAACAAAAUGAGAAAAGAAAAGGCAAAAAUGAAAAAUAAAAGGGGGAGUGAAGACCCGCACAUGGGCUGGCCCAUGAACGCAUCAUGGGUAGGGCAUACGCGAGAAAAGAAAGAUAAAAAUUAUGGAAGCUGGGGAUCGAACCCUGGCUCGUCACUAGAGGAGCAAUCAGCCAACCACUCUGCUGCCCAUUGUUCUGUGACUUCUAAUCGCCGCGCCACUAUAAAACAAUGAGGGAGGCGGCAAUUUUUGCUCCCAAGGAUUGAAUCGUUUUCCCACUUACGGGUGGCAUUGGUGGGUAAAUUUUUAUCAACUUGGAGGGUAAUUCUGAUGGCGGACGACCAGAAGCGAUAGCCGCUUUAUUAGUAGGUUUAUUUAUUAGGCCUAAAGACUACUUCUCUUAGACCAAGACACAUAGUAAUUCGCUCACACUAAUUUUUCCAUUCUACUCCCGAUGCACUCUCUCACAUGCAUGCAGUCAAUGAAAAAGCACGCAUGAAGUGUAUUAAUUUUCCAGCCAUGGCAAAAAAAAUGGCUUUCAAUGCAACCAAUGAAAUGCAUGCAUGCACCUUUCCAAAGCAGGGCCUUAUAAAAGGGGACAUGCUUGUGAUGCUGAGAGGCCUAAUAAACCAGUACGGAGGGAGUAAAGAUUAGGAAAAGAUACACAAUGUGUUUUCAAGGGUAGACACCCGUAUCAAGUUUUGGAGGGAUUUUUAGAAAACCUCUGUGUUGCGGUUUCUUUUAGAAAUUGUUUUUGCGCGUGAAUACCGUCAUUGAGAUUAGUUUUCCUGUGCUGGAUUGUAAGGUUCAAUCCCUCUAAUUCGUAUACAUCGCAUGCGCAGGCGAGAGGUUACUGCUACUCGUGGGGGAGUGUCGUGAAAAGUCGGGCCGCAACAACAGAUCGCAUCUCACCUCGAGGUUUAAUUUGGUCUAGAUCGAGAGUGGUCUUGUUCGGAAGUUUUGUCCCAACGAAGUAACAUAUAAAACCAGACUUAAUUUGGACUUUCAGUUUGAAAGAUAUAAUAGAUUCAAAUUUAGAGAUAAAUGAAAAGGCAUGGGAGGUGAGGUGGGUGACGUAUGCAACUCUGCCAAAAGUUUUCAUGUAUGGACCCUUGUGCAAGAAUUAGGGACUAAUCACAUAAACGAACUCACCAACCUUGAAGCAAAUGGGUGGCCACAGGCAUGCGUGCCCCUGCACGUACGUGGCCCAAUGAAUUUUCAGAAACAUAUGUCUUUUCUCACCUCCUAUUGAAUUUCUUACCUACACUCUAUUCGAAAAGUAGUAUGAUGGAUGAGUUUUUGUUUGUAUACAUGUAUAUUCUUACCAACAAAGUAACUUACAAACUAAUAGUCGAAAGAUAGAAAGCGUCAACAGUUGAACUUCCUAGUGAAGGUGUUGACUUCGUCAAAAUCUUCAUUUUGCCACAAGUUAAUUUAUUACUCCCUCUGUACCAUAAUACUUGUCGCUGGGGAACUUGUACUGGUUUUCCCCAAUGACAAGUAUUUCGAUACAGAGGUAGUAGAAGCAGCCGCACAACACCACUCUAGAUGUCUACUAUGCCUGUGUGUGUUAUCAUAUCUUUGGUUCUUUUCUCACAAUCUUGUCGAUAUGUUUAUGUGAUUGCCAUCUUUUUAUGUAACAUGCUAAUGUUAUUAACAUGCUAAAAUGAGUGGAACUGCGGAACUAUAGCUAGUUUGUAACAUAGAAGUAUAUUCUAGCAACGGUGAAGUGAUGCAACUAGACAAUGGUGUUGUUGAACAUCGCACGGUUGAUAAGCAGUGACAUGUCCGUGUGGAGUAUGUACACGAUCGGUGGACGUAUUAACAAAGAUGUGGGUGUCGUCAUGUGAUCCUCUGCGUGGAAGAAGAUCCAUCGGUUGGUUGUAGUGGAAGCCGGGUGGGGUCACCUGAAGUUCUCCUCACUUACUAUUCAGCACCCAAGCGUGAAUGAUGGGUGCCAUUGCGGUGUGAGAACUGAAGGAACUUGGACCAGCACAACUGCCUUUUUUAUACUACUCUAGUCCAUUGGUAAUGACCAGUAAUCACACAACUUUGUUUAACUCAAGUUCUCAAGGACGUGAGUAAUAAUGAAUAUUGAUUUCUCUUAUUACAAUAUGUGAUCUCAUUCUAAAAUGGUACGAACGUUCUUUAAAACGCACGAACACGUUUUGCUAGCUACACGAACAUUUAUCUAUUCCAUUAUAAUAUUAUAUACUAAAAGCGCAAUACGAAGUAUUUUCGAGACACUACGUUGGUCCAUGUCAUCAAAAUUAUUUAAACUGUUGAAUUUGUAAUUUAAUAGAUCACUACCAUUCGAACUGCAUAACCAUACUUAAAACUGAUCAUACCUGUCAGAUUUAAAUAAUUAUAGUGUGUGCACGAUUCAUGCACCACGACAGGUAUCAGUUCGCCCAUGCAUGUGUCGAAUUCCAGCAGAUGGUUUGAGGGAAAAAAAAUUAUAUGAGAUCAGGUCUCAUAUAAAACAGGUGAGAUCCGCCCUGAUGGAUGACACGUGGCAUUCACAAAUCACAAAUCAUCUAAUCUCUCCCUUCCCCUAAUUUCAGGUGAGGGGAUGGGGUAGAUGCUUUGUGAUUUGUGAAUGUCACGUGUCAUCCAUCAGGAUGGGUCUCACUUGCUAACUUGUGAGACCUGGCUCAUAGAAUUCUUUUCCAUGGUUUGAUUGCCCAUAUAUCCGUGGUCUGCAUAACAGAUCCGUUAUUAUAUCCACUUUCCAAUACGGAUGUGCGCAUGCUAACCCCAAAGUUGAUCGAACGAAGUGCGUCAUGUGUGUGCGUCAAGGCAUAGGAGUAGUACUCCCUCUCUUCUGGUUUAUACUCCCUCCAUCUAUAGAUAUAUAUGGCCUAAUACGUUUUCCGUGGUUCAGGUUGACCAUGGAUUAGAGAAAUAAUAUAUGACAUGCGUGUUACACAAAUCAUACUAUUAGAUUCAUAUGUGAAAGGUGUUUCCAAUAAUAUAAUUUUUAUAUCAUACAUCUCAUGCAUUGUUAAUCUUAUCAAUGAUCAAAUGCAACCUCGAAUCAUGGAUGGUGGGAGUAGGGCUUACCUUUGAAAAAUAUUUUCCUAAUUUAUAAGUCUCUAUUUUAUUGUUCCCAUUUGCAUGUCCGGAUUUGAAGGUGCAUUAAACCGUUGCAUGCAUGAAUUAAGAGAAAACUCAUGCACGUAAAAGUUUUUAGUCAUUUAUUUUGUCAUGCAUGCAUACACUGUAAUUAAUACUCCUUCAUUGGUAAACACAAUUUGUUGAGAAAAAUGAUUCCAUUAAUUGAUUACUUACGCAAACUACAAACAUUAUUCUAUCACUCAACAUCUACCUACUCAACAUCUUGGUUGAUGAAAUUUUUAAAUUGAGUUCUAUAAACCAGAAGGGAGGGAGUAUAUGGUGCCAAGGAAAAAACAUGUGAGGCUCCAAUACUAAAAGCACAAUAGGGAGGUUUUUCCAGAUGCGGCGCUUCUGGUCUCGAGCUGAAGUGGGCUCGCUAUCUGGGUGGUUCGGCGUGUCUUUGAGAUGCGGUGCAAUUAAUUUCCGGGCCAGCCUGCCGUUUGGCUAUAAAUCAAGAAAUCUGCAUAUACGGUAGAUGUGUAUCGUGUAAGUUGUCCCAGAUCUGUAACGGAAGGGGGCCACCGUGAUGGGAAGAAAGGGAAGCCGUGGCUCGAGGCGUCAAUGUCGUUCUGAUUCAUGGCACAGGAAUUACACUUUUCCUUAUGUGCGGCAGACGGGAAAUAAAUUUGGUUAGUUGUGUAUUUCCAGUGGUAUGGCUUUCGUCGUCCACGUGCAGUGCAAAGCGAAGAGGAGCAAGGAGCUGGAGAGGGGAGCCGCCAUUGCCGCCUAUGGAGUUUCGCAACCCAUAUUGUGGUACGAAUCAAGGACCUCGUUCUGUGGAUUGAGAAUUUGCGCCGUUUUGUUGACUCCUACCCAAUUUCUUUCCUCCAUGCUGGCCUCCAGAUUCCCCUUCUGGAAGGGGUCGAUGAGAGCCCAACCCCCAUUCACCUGGACGUGCACGGCGCGGUGGUUCUGGGAGCGGUCGCCGACUCACAUCCAUCGCCGUUCAGCAGUGGGGACCAAGCCCCGUCAUCGGCACUCAGCGCGGAGGCUCAGAUCUGGAAGGAAGAAAGGGGCGAACGCGUUAGAUGCGAGGGAUCGCCGCAGGCUUCCGAGUUGUUCACUGGGAAGAUGAACCCACAUGCCCCUGGUUGGGCCAAGAGGUGCGUCCAAUAAUCACAUAUGUUUUCAGUGCGUGAUUUUAGGAUGUUGUAACCAUGUAGCAUGGCGAGAAAUUGUGGAGAUGGUGAUGUCAACUGAGAACUGAAUUGUAGAGUUUAGUGGAUUUAGCAUAUGUAGAGCCCAUAAUUUACGGCUUCGAUUUGCAUGGGCAUUGAGCAGGUUUACAUAGGCUGCUAAGUUGUGAACAUGAGAACUCAACAUGGAGUUAGGCAUGGAGGGGGAGCCGUAAACUCCAAGAAUUACCGUCAUGGAUGUAUCCUAAAAAAUUGAGGAGAUAAUGAGCACAUAAUAUGCAGAGACAUUUUAAAAAAAAGAUGCAGUUUUUGUUUUUGGAAUGUAUAAAUUGUUGAAUGCAACCAGGAAGAUACAAAAUUGAUUUCUCCAUUAAGAGGGAGAGACCAUCAUUUUGUGUUUGGUAUUUGGUAAAUUAGGCUGGUCGUAAUGGUAGUAUUAUAAGCGGUAUCAUGCAUGUCAACUAGAGUCUUUGAAUGAUGUGGUACACAAUUAAAUGAGGAAAGAGAUGAUGUGGUAUCAUAUUAAAUAUUGUACUACUUUGUGUCAUCAUGGCAAUUAAUAAGGCAACCUAAGAUAUUAACUUAUGAUACUAUGCAUUACGGAAAUAGUAUCAUACACUAGUAUCAUAUGCAUGAUACUAGUAUAUGAUACUCUCCAUUACAACCAGCCUUAGGUGAUAUCAACGCUUGGUUAGCGUGCUAUGAAUUGCUAGGGUGAGGAUAGGCACAGCAACACCUAGAAGGACACCAUGUCCAUUGCGGGUGAGUGCAUUGGAGAAAGCAAUGAGCCGUGGCACGGAACAUCUAUCACAAGCUGUGACGCGGGGAACAGAAUCAUCAAUUUAUCGUUUAGACGUCAGGAUUCAGUUACGUGUGUAGGUUGUUUGAAGGAGCCCUACGGUAUACAGUUAUGAGAAAAAGGGUUUCCCCACCGCUUUGUAUUACAAAGCAAAUAUCCGAUACAACCAACGAUAGGUGCUGGGGCGAAAGCAGCACAACCACGUCCAAAAGAAAAGAAACAAAUGCCGAUAACGGCGGAUCGACAAAGACGACGAAGCCUCGCGACCGCUGCUUCCACCAGAAAUCGUCCCCCAAGCUCCGAGACUCCGAAGCGCCGGUACCAAUCAACACCUCCAAGAAGGGACGCGAAGAUGACGACGCUGCUGCCAAGGGUUUCUCCCGGUACACAGUGAGGAAAGAAGAAGGGUAGCCUCGACGCCCUCCAGGAAGGUCCGAUGGCACCCUCAGGCGCCACCGCGUCGGUGUCGGUCAAGCCAACAGGGAUUUCUCCCGAUCCCAUUCUCCCCCUCAGGCACUUCGGAGCUCACCACCAAACCAACCACCACCCUGCGCACACGGACAUGAAGCUUCCCACGCUGUCUCACCACGGCACCGCGAAGAUGGCCUGCACAACGAGGAAGGGGAGCCGGGACUAGGGCAGCAGCACCAUCAGCAUACUGGAGGGCCCCACCUCCACCGUCCACGACGGUAGCCGACCGGACGCCAAAGCGGGAGUCUGCCGGGCCCGUGGCCCCACAGGCCCGGCCGGGCCCUCAGAGGCCUGGACAACUCCCGCCUCCGCGCCGCAGCUGGCAUGCGGCGUCGCUGCUGAAAGAACAUGCGGUGCCCCCAUGUUUGGUUUUGGUAAUUGAUGACAAUCUCUAUGGACUAAUGGUUGUCUUGAGUUAUAUUUGAAGGAUCUGUCCAUAGGCUUUUCUUGAAGUCCAUGUGUUGGUUUCAAGGAGUUUAUGAGUUGACCAAGGUGUUAUUAAGGAAUUAUCCAAAAAUUGGUCAUGUGAGUGUUGAGCUUAUUGCAAGCAUGUCUUGAAGAAGAAGAUUGUGUGAUCAUUCAUGUUUACCUUCAAGACAUCAUCCAAAUGAAGAGAGUUGGAAAGACUCAAGGUUGAUCAAGACUAAGUCAAAGAGUGAAUUAAGUUGAUCAACACACAAAGCAUAGAAUAUGUACCGAGAGGGAUCAAGCGAUCCCAUGGUAUGGUUGUGGUGUGCAAGUUCAAGUGAAGCAUCACGAAGAGAUCAAAUGCUUGAAGCUUGCCGUCCAUUGUGGUGACAAUGGACUUGUGAAGAUGUGCGGAAGAGAGGCUCACCCAUAGUGGAGUAUGGGGGAGCAAUCAACUAGUCUUCAUCGAGCCAACGCAAUCAAGAAAGGUGGUCCAACUUGAGGGAGUCAAGAUCGUCAUCAUCUAGCUCAAGUGGACCAUGUGCAAGGCAAAGAUUUGCCCUUGAUAGGUUUUCUAUUUUACCGGUCUCAUGGUAGUUGUGGGAGACCGGGUUAUAGGAUCGUUUGCCGUACUAUCAAAGGGGGCUCUCGAUGAGUUGCUUGAUCGUAUCGUUCAUAGAGAGCUCAAACCAUUGCAUCCUUGCAUCAUCUUUUUUGGUUCCUGUUUGGUUCUUCUCCUUGUGAGAUUUGGAGCUUAUGGUCAUUUUUAUGACAAGCUCGGGUUCAUCGAAAACGGAGUUCACAUGCUUCUUCUAUGAUGUUUUCGAUGUUGGAGGGUAUGUCGGUUCUUCUCUGUUGGAGGUGCCACUCCUUUGUUUGCUAAGCAUACCUCGCCUUUGAUGCUCCUUGUUGUCUUGUUUCAAACAAGCUUGAGUUUGCUCAAUUCGGAGCUCAUUUGCAGAAGUUAUGGCAGUUCUGGUUUUCUUUGGAGUAUUCUUUGUUUUCGCGUUGUCUGGUUUUCUUUGGAGUACCGCUUAUCGCCACAAGCGGUAGUACCGCUGUCCCACAGCGGUAGUACCGCCCAUGGCCAUAAGCGGUAGUACGGCUCCGGUUCCGCGCUGGUACCACCUUGACUCGAGACGUGGUUUUCUCGUGUCGGGUUCAGCGGCAGUAGUAGCGGGAGUAGGAGCGGUAGUACCGCUCGUGAGCAGUAGUACCGCUGGGGUGAGCGGUAGUACCGCUGGGGUGAGCGGUAGUACCGCUUAUAUACGGUACUACCACCCCAAGGUUCUUGGUUUGUUGCUCUGUUUCCCUGCUUCUUCUGCCCGAGCGGUAGUACCGCUCGUGGAGCGGUAGUACCGCUCGUGUGCGGGCUGAGCACAUAACGGUUGGAUUUUCCCCCUUGUAUUAAAGGGGGUCUUCUUCCCCAAUGAACCUUAUCCUUUGAGCUCGUGUUCUUCCCCCAUUGUUGACCUUCUUCGAGCUUGCUAACUCUCAAUCCCUUCAUGGAUUCUUGCUAGUUUUUGAGGGAAAAGAGAGAGGAGAUCUAGAUCCACAUUUCCACCAAUCACUUUCUCCUCUAUGUGAGGGGAACCCCUUGGAUCUAGAUCUUGGAGUUCUUGGUGUUCUCCUUGUUUUUCCUCUCAUUUUCCUCCCUAGCAUUAGUUGAUUCGGUGGGAUUUGGGAGAGAAGGACUUGGGCACUCCGUGUGCCCUUGCCAUUGCAUUCGGUGCAUCGGUUUGAGUUCUCCAUGAUGAUACGUGGAAGUUUCAAGUUGAGAAGCUUAUUACUCUUGGGUGCUUGGUGCCCUAGAGCUUGUUCCUCUUGGGUGCUUUGGCGCCCUAGACGGUUGGUGGUGCUUGGAGCUCAAUCAUUGUGGUGUAAAGCUCCGGCCAAGCGUCGGGGUCUCCAAUUAGGUUGUGGAGAUCGCCCAGAGCAAUUUGACGGGUUUCGGUGACCGCCCCCAAGGGUUGCCAAAGUGUACGGGUUCGGUGACCGCCCCCAAGGGUUGCCAUUUGUACGGGUUCGGUGACCGCCCUCAAGGGUCCUGUCAGGACCCCGACUCGAUGUCACAUCGAUCUAGCCGGUAACACCUCAUAUCACUUUGCGGCCUCACGCACGGUAUCCCCACGGGUGUCGCCUUACCUUUGCCCAGGACCGUUUGCGCCUUUUGGCUCACGUAUAUGAUAGUGUCGCUAGCAUCCAUAUGAUAAAGAGCCCGGGCUGACAUGACUAGUUGUAAACCCAAAGUGGCACAGACUUACAGGGACAGGCAUCCAUGACCCAGCUUCGAACGUGUCGGUCAUCAGCAAGUGGGUCCGGGCUGUAGCACUGGGCUAGCAGGACUCCGGUAAACCGGGCUGUAGCGGGCAAACAGGACUCCGGUACUCAAUGCGUGACAUUUCCCCGAAGGGACAGACACAGGAAUGAGGAAGGACACAUGCCGGCCAGCCUAAGUGUUCCAGAGCAGUAGCAAGCUACCAUGGCUCAGCGGUAACACUAGGAGACAUUUCCCGGUAAGAGAGGCUACUAAAGAUAAACAACUACAUAGUCAGAUCCCACACAUACCAAGCAUUUCAAUCAUACACACAAUAUGCUCGAUAUGUGCAAAUACAACGAAGCAUCACAACAUGACUCUACGACACAAGUACUUUAUUUAAGGCUCAGGGAGCCAUACAUAACAUACACAAAGGUACGGGUCUCACGACCCAACAUACAAGUCAUACAGUCAUACAAACCAGCAGCGGAAGUAACUUGUCUGAGUACAGACAGCUAGUAAAAUAAAAGAGGCUUGGAAAGCCUAGCUAUACUACGUGGUCCUUCACAAGAUCAAGAUCACCACCUGGGUCUUUAACCUACUCGUUGAUGUCAACGUCUACAUAGAACCCAUCAGAAGGGGUUGCAGCGUCUUCUGUAAAAAUGUAGAUUAUAGCAACAUGAGUACAAGGGUACUCAGCAAGUCUUACAUCAGAUCCUACAUACAUGCAUGUUGUCAAGAAGGGUUGGUGGAGUUAUUGCAGCAAGCCAGCUUUGACUCUUGGCUAGGCUAUCCUACGAUACUCCAACUUGAAAUGGUUUUGCGCACACGAGUCCACUACUCACCACUUCAAUACACCACCGAGGAUCCGCCUCCGUCUUCCUACGGAAGAGCCAUCCUCGGCACUCACACUUAUCUUGAGGCUUUUAGUAGUUUCCAUUUACUUGUCUAUGAACUGUAUAGGCAACCAAGUAGUCCUUUACCGCGGACGCGGCUAUUCGAAUAGAUUAUGAUAACCCUGCAGGGGUGUACUUCUUCAUACAUGUUUCCACCACUUAGCGUCUGCACACGACAUGUGCUCGGCAGACUUCAAGCGAAAGCCGACGUGGGUGUAGACCACGACCUACCUAAACACUUAAGCCUCUAGUCCAGGUUUAUCGCCUAUCCAGGUUCCAUCCGCAGGGAGUCCGGCCGAGGUUUCCCAUACGGCCCCGAACGAUGUGAACAGGGUUCCCGAGAUACCUAACGGGUAUUCGGUACACCCGGCCACGUACCUACCGCAUCACAGCCCACCCCUACGGUCAGCGCUGUCCACGGCCUCCAGUAGGCUACAAACACCAGAAACUACUUGCAACUCCUGGACAGAGAGCUAGGGUGAAUAAGAAGUCGAGCGGGGUCAUAUUUCAGGGCCCAAUGCAUGGUAGUAGCUGUAUCUUAAAUCACACAUACAGAUCUCAGUGCUUAAGGUCGGCUUCAAUGAAACAACCCACCAUGUACUCCUACAUGGCCUCUCAUCGAUACCUUUACCAAAUCGUGUUCACCACGCCACUCUCAUUACCGACAUAAACAUUUCACUCCAGCCCAUCACCUAGAUGAACCAGACCUGACACGACUCUAAGCAUAGCAGGCAUAGCAAGGUAGGAACAACACAUACAUAUGGCUCAAUCAACUCCUACACAUGCUAGUGGGUUUCACCUAGUUACUGUGGCAAUGACAGGUCAUGCAGAGGAAAUGGGUUCAACUACCGUAGCACACAGCAGUUUGAAACGCGUUGUCUUAAUGCAGUAAAAGAGAGCAGGAGCGAGAACAUGGGAUUGUAUCGAUAUGAUCAAAUGGUUGGUUGCUUGCCUGAUGGUUCGAUGCACGGAUACGGUUCUUCGUUAGGGUAAUCACGGUACUCCUCGGAGGCAGAACCUGUCGCAAAGGACACCGAUAUACAACCAUCACCAAACAAUGUGCAACAAUAUGAUGCAUGCAUGAAACAUGGCAAUAUGAGUGUGUUGGGCUAAUGCAACUAAAACCAGAAGGGUUUGAACAAAUUUGAAUCAAAGAUUCAAAUUUCAAACUCAAAUAUGGCCUUUUAAAGUGCUUUUUCUUGUUCUGCUUAAAACAUCAAUUUAACUUGUUUGAUCAUGCAUGAAAAUAGUACAGAUGGAUAGAUUGGAUUUUUCUGAUCAUUUUUCAUAUAUAAUUUGUCUAAUUUGGAGUUACAGAAUAAAAGUUAUGAAUUUUUGAAGUUUAAAUAAUAUUCUGGAAUUUCCUGAUUAAAAUUAAAUCCAGAAAUAUAGUUAUUGCGCCAGCAUGACGUCAGCAUGACGUCAGUGGUCAACUGCGGCUGGCUGAGGUCAAACCUGACGUGUGGGGCCCACACGUCAGUGACAGGGGGUUAAACAGGAUUAAAUUAAUCCUAAUUAGGGAUUAGUGGCGCUGGGGCCCACUGGUCAGUGUCAGGGGGUUAACUAACAGUGGUUAGCGCUAAUCCUAAUUAGCUACAGGGCUGGGCCCACCUGUCAGGGACUCAGGGGGUCCUGCCGUGGUCAAAGUGGGUCAAACCCACCGGCGACGUGACGCCGGCGAGGCCCGAGACGGCGGCGCGAUGCGGGAUCGCGCUACAGGGCACGGGCGAGGCCGUUCUUGGGCUCGUUGGAGAGCUCUUGCUCCCGCGCGUCGAACGGUGGUGGCGGCCGAGCCUGGGGUGGCCGGUAUCGUCGACGGCGAGCUCGUGAGCGGCGGCCGGAGUUCGGGUGCGGUCGGAGUCGGCGUUGCAGGGGGUUUGGGGAGGCGUUGGUGCGUGCUGCGUGCUCCUAGUGAGGCGUGGAGCACGAUAGUGUGCUCGGUUGGGCGCUACGGUGACCGUGGCCACGACGGCGACAUCGCCGGCGGCGUGGAGCUCUCGGCCAAGGUGGGGCUAAGGCCUAGAGGUCGAAAGAGACCAGGGGAGAAGGGGGAAACGACUCGAGGGCUCACCGCGGUUGCAGUAGGCGUCGAAGCGGGCUCGGAGACGCGCUGGAGACGGUGAAUUCGACGGCGAUGAUGGUCGGAGCCCGAAGAGGGGAACGGCGACGUGGCGGCGAUGCAGGGCUUCCGGAGGCCCGUGAAGCGGUGGGGAGGAAGAGGGGGUUGUGGCGGAGCUUCUGAGCUAGUCGGGGGAGCGAGGGGUGGCCGGAGACGGCUGCUAUGGCGAACGUCGGCGACGGUGGUGUUCGGCGGUGUGAGGGAGAGAGCGAGGGAGAGGAGGGAAGAGCCGAGGGCGAGUGAGAGAGAGCCGGGGGAAGGCGUGGCGUCGUCCAGGGGCAUCGAGGCGAGGAGGGGAGGGCAGGCAGGCAGGGAGAGAGGUGGCGUGGCGCGGUGGCGCGCGCGCGCGCCGGCCACACUCCCCUCCCUCUGUCGGGACGAAGACGACAGAGGAGGGAGACGGGCUGGGCCGCCUGCUGGCUGGGCCGGCCAGCUGGAUGGGCUGCACAGGGAGGAGCCCAGGUAAGCUUCUCCCUUUUAUUUUUUUUUUCUGUUUUCUAAUUUCUGACAUUUGUUUUGAUUUAAAUAAUAUAUUAAAUCAUUUAUUUAACUUAUGCCAAUUUUUGCAGGGGCUAGAUAUAUUAUUCCAGAGCUCCUUUAUAAUUGGCAUAAUAUUUGGACAUAUAUUAAUAUAUAUAGAAUAUAUUUCCAAUGCAAAUAUUUAUGCAUUAAUUCCAAAUGCCCAAAAUAAAUGUCCAUGAGCCACUAAAAAUAUUGGUUUGAUUUUUAUCUCUGUCCAAUAUUUUCAGAGAGCAACAUGAGCAUUUUCUUGGACCCUUUUGGAGAAAUUUUUAUUUGGGUCAUUUUCAAAAUGAUUCUGAGGGUUUCACAGAUCCCCAUUUCAAGUUAAAUGGAAAUUUAAACAUGAUGCACACACUCUGAUGCAUGACUAGCUAGGGUGUGACAACUCACCCCCACUCAAAAGAAUCUCGUCCCGAGAUUUGGGUUCCUCCGGGAAGAAGGCGGGAUACUCAAGUCGAAGACGAUCCUCCCUUUCCCAAGUUGCUUCAUCCUCAGAAUGAUGAGACCACUGAACUUUGACGAACUUGAUGUUCUGACGUCGAGUGGUACGCUCGGCCUGAUCGAGGAUACGAAUGGGGUACUCUCGAUAUGUAAGAUUAUCUUGGAGAUCAAGCGUUUCGUGGUCCACUCCACGGAUAGGAUCCGAGAAGCAACGCCUGAGUUGAGAAACGUGGAAGACAUCAUGGACUCUGGAGAGAUGCGGAGGUAGUUCCAACUGGUAGGCAACUUCUCCUCGUUUGGCGAGAAUGCGAAAAGGUCCAAUGUAGCGAGGAGCCAAUUUGCCUUUGAUACCGAAACGAUGGGUUCCCUUCAGAGGGGUGACCCGAAGAUAAGCCUUCUCGUCAACCUCGAAGGUCAUAGCCUUAUGUUUUCGGUCAUAUUGACUCUUUUGACGAGAUUGGGCUGUUUUCAACUUUUCACGAACGAUGCGAACUUGUUCUUCUGCUUCCUGAAUCAUAUCCGGGCCAAAGAAUUGUCUUUCCCCGGUCUCUGACCAGUUAAGGGGCGUUCGACACCGUCGUCCAUAGAGAACUUCAAAAGGGGCUUUACCCAAGCUAGAUUGAUAGCUGUUGUUGUAAGCGAAUUCGGCAAAUGGAAGGCACUUCUCCCAAUCCAUUCCGAAUGAGAUAACAGAGGCUCGAAGCAUGUCUUCUAGAAUUUGGUUGACGCGUUCCACUUGACCACUUGACUGAGGGUGGAAAGCGGUGCUAAAGGAGAGACGAGUCCCCAUAGCAUUUUGGAAACUUUCCCAAAAUCGAGAGGUGAAAAGACUUCCUCGAUCCGAGUUAAUUUCCAAAGGAACACCAUGGAGGGACACUAUUCGGGAGAUGUAUAAGUCUGCCAGCUGACUAGCGGUUAUACUCUCACGAACAGGUAGGAAAUGGGCUACUUUGGAAAGACGAUCGACCACGACGAAAAUAGCAUUAUUCCCUCUCUUGGUCCUGGGAAAACCGGUAAUGAAAUCCAUACUAAUUUUAUCCCAUUUCCAUUCAGGAAUAGCUAAGGGUUGAAGGGUGCCAGCAGGCCGUUGGUGCUCUGCUUUCACACGACGACAGACGUCGCAAUUAGCAAUAUACUGAGUAAUUUCUCUCUUCAUCCUAGUCCACCAGAACCUCUGGCGUAGGUCCUGAUACAUCUUAGUACUACCGGGAUGAAUAGUGAGAGGAGAUUCAUGAGCCUCCUUAAGGAUCAACUGCCGUAGAUGCUGGUUCUUGGGAACCACUAGACGGUUCUCAAAGUACACAACACCAUGAUCAUUUGUGGAGAAACAACUAGCACCUCCGCUAGCAAUGUUCUCUUUGAUUUUAGAUAUUCCCUUAUCUCGCUUUUGGGCAGCGAUGAUUUGAUCCGUAAGAGUAGGUUUUGCUACCAAGUUGGAAAGAAAACCUUGAGGUGCAAUAUGAAGGUUAAGCUUCCGAAAUUCCUCAUGGAGAAGCGGUUGACUUUGUUGUAACAUCAGGUUGUUACAAUAAGAUUUACGACUUAGCGCAUCAGCCAUGACGUUGGCUUUCCCUGGGGUGUAGGUUAUUCCUAAGUCGAAGUCUGUGAUCAAUUCAACCCAACGUCUUUGCCUGAGAUUCAGAUCCGGUUGGGUGAAAAUGUACUUCAGACUUUGGUGAUCAGUGAAUAUUUCGCAACGGUUACCGAGGAGGUAAUGUCGUCAGGUCUUAAGUGCAUAGACUACGGCUGCAAGCUCUAGAUCAUGAGUAGGAUAAUUCUCCUCAUGUGGGUGCAAUUGCCGUGAAGCGUAGGCAAUUACGUGUCGAUCUUGCAUGAGAAUGCAACCUAGUCCUUGUCGCGAGGCGUCGCAGUAGAUAACAAAGUCCUUGGAGAAGUCUGGCGGUACCAGUACGGGAGCAGAAGUCAGGCGUCUUUUCAGUUCCUGAAAGCUGUGCUCACAUUGUGGAGUCCAUUCGAACUUCUUAUCUUUCUUGAGGAGUUCGGUUAGAGGUUUGGCAACUUUGGAGAAGUUUUCGACAAAGCGACGACAAUAGCUCGCUAAGCCCAGAAAACUCCGAACUUGCUUGACCGAUUCAGGUGGAGUCCAAUUAAGGACGGCUUGAACUCGCUCAGGGUUAACAGCAAUACCUUUACCAGAUAUUACAUGACCCAGAUAGGUCACUUCUGACAACCAGAAUUCACAUUUAGAAAAUUUGGCAUAAAGGCGAUGCUCUCGAAGUUUCUUCAACACUAGCCUUAGAUGUUCGGCAUGUUCUUCCUCGUUCUUGGAGUAGAUGAGUAUAUCAUUGAGGUAAACAACGACGAAUUUAUCCAAAUACUCCAUGAAGAUUGAGUUCAUUAACCGAGAAAAGGUGGCUGGAGCGUUGGUUAAACCGAAGGACAUGACGGUGUACUCGUAUUGGCCAUAACGAGUAACAAAGGCCGUUUUAGGAAUGUCCCCGUUUCUGAUUUUGAUUUGAUGGUAGCCCAACCUCAAAUCCAUCUUGGAGAAGACUGAGGAUCCAGCGAGCUGAUCAUACAGAUCGUUGAUCCUGGGAAGUGGAUAUUUGUUUUUGAUUGUGACCAAAUUGACAGGUCGGUAAUCUACAACCAUCCGGUCCGUACCAUCCUUCUUCUUGACGAAUAGGACGGGGCAAGCCCACGGAGAUGAACUAGGGCGGAUGAAACCCUUUUUCAAGGACUCAUCGAGUUGUUUCUUAAGCUCGGCUAGUUCUAGGGGUGCCAUCUUAUAAGGUCUUCUAGCAAUCGGAACGGUUCCGGGGAUGAGGUCUAUUACGAACUCAACAUCCCUGUCAGGUGGAACACCUGGCAAUUCUUCUGGAAAGACAUCCGGGAAGUCACGGACUACCGGAACGUCCUCAAGGUCUGGCAAAGGGCUGGCGUUAAGAGAAUAUAAUUGUCGCUUGGCUAUUCGGGUCAAGACAUUGACUAUCUUCCCCGAAGGAUGGGUGAGUUGAACAGUCCUAGAGAAGCAAUCAAUUUUGGCUUGAUGAGCUGACAUCCAGUCCAUACCCAAAAUGAUAUUAAUAUCUGAAGAUUUAAGGGCUAUCAAAGAUGCGAGGAAAACAAGUCUGUCGACUUGGAUUUCAUUUCCAUAACUUACCCUAGAGGUCUGCCAUCUAGAACCAGGGGUAGAAAUUUCCAUAGUGGAUGGCAUGUCACAGAAUGCAACGUUAUGCAAACGAGCAUAAUUUUCGGAUAUAAAAGAAUGAGAGGCUCCUGUAUCGAAAAGAACAGAUGCCGGGUGGCAGUUAACAAGAAGCGUACCGAGAACGACGUUGGGAUCCUCUUGAGCUUCUUCGGCAGAGAUACAGUUGACAUGGCCACGUGAAGCGGUGACCGGCUUGGCGUGGAAUAUUUUUCCUGCCGGCUUGCCACGGCCAACAGCUUUAGCAGACUGGUUGGGGUUGGUCUGGGGACACUCACGCAUAUAGUGACCAGAUUCCCCACACUUGAAACAAGUCACGGAACUGGUACGUGGAGGAGCAUUGUUGGUUGGACCCCCAUAGGGCUUGGCUGAAGCAGACUAUUGAACAGGGCGAGGCGCCUGGAAAGAUGGCCUCGGUGUGAACCUGGGUGGCAGGGCGGUGUUGGGUACCCACACGCGGCGCUUCUGAGGACCAGCACCGGAUGAGGAACCCAUGUCACGGCCAUGCUUGCGUGUUGCGUCAUAGUCAGUCUGACCAGUUUCAGCACUGAUGGCUUUGUUGACAAGUUUCUGGAAAGAUGUGCACUCAUGCAGACGGAGGUCACGGCGAAGCUCAGGACUAAGGCCCUUACGGAACCUUGCUUGCUUCUUGGCAUCAGUAGACACUUCCUCAGUUGCAUAUCGUGCGAGAUUACCAAACUCCCUGCUGUAAGCAUCCACAGAAAGUCGGCCUUGGGUGAAACUGCAAAAUUCUUCACGUUUACGGUCCAUGAGACCCUCCGGAAUGUGAUGUUCACGGAAAGCCUCGCUGAAUUCAGCCCAAGUAGUGACAUGGCCCGCUGGGCGCAUAGCUCCAUAGUUCUCCCACCAUAGACUGGCGGGGCCUUCAAGAUGAUAUGCAGCAAAGGUGACCUUGUCAGCCUCAGCUACUAGCGCGGAACGCAGCUUGUGAGAGAUACUGCGAAGCCAGUCAUCAGCGUCGAGAGGCUCGACGGAGUGGUGGAACGUGGGUGGGUGUAAUUUGAUAAAAUCACUGAGUGACACCACGUUAGUCCUCUGAUGGUGUGCUGUGUUCUGUUCAAUACGCUCCAACAAACGGUUGGUCUCCCGCUUGUUUUUCUCAGCUUCCAUCAUAACCUCGGCUAGGGAAGGAGGAUGAGGCAGAUUUGCAUCCCUGACUUCACUGCCUUCGGCCUGCUCUUGAGGAGCAGGGUUAGUGCGCGUGUUGACCAUCCUAGGUAAACAAGACAAUGAUUUAGUCAGGAUGAUAAAAUUCUGACAUAGGAUACAAAUGUAAGGAAUAACUCAAAUGCAAGAUGAUCAUCCGUAUGACAUGGUAGAUACAGAAACUGCUUCUUUAUUCCAUUGUCAUACACACCAUACAGGGUUUAGUACAAGACCAAACAGAGUACUAUUACGGUGAAAAGAGGAUUACAUCUCAUCAGAGGCAUCCCAAGCUCCUAUAUAUUAUUUUUCUACACCUCCGGAAGGAGUACAAACUAGGUCAUAUCCCACGAGUCACGCGGAACGAUAGACGACACAACUAGUGCGAACUAGUGAUACUACCACUAACUCAGACCGACCCGUAGUAGUCCUCGUAGAAGUCACCUCCAUAGCCUGGAAGCUCAACAUGUUCAUCCGGAAACAGACGAUCUCGCGGAGCUUGUGGACCAUAGGGGCUAGGAUGAGGUCUUGGACCAACAAACGGUGGUCUGCGGGGACCGCGAGGUGGGGUGAUGCCUCCUACAUCACGCCAAACCAUCACGUCUGGCAGAGCAGAUCUCACAGGAUAGAGAUCGCGCAUAUCUGAAUAUCCAGCUUGCACCGUCGGUGCGAACCGAGUCAAAGUGGCCCAGUGGUCAGCACGGGUAUUGAAGAGCUCUAACCUCAAGGCCCGAUUUUCACGGUCCUUAUCCUCGAGCAUCUCAGCAGUGGUGUGAGUCCGUGAAUCCUCCUGGGUGGGGUCAGCAUAGAUAGCCUGGAGAUACCCUUGUGCUCCCGGAAGUGAUCCUGGCAUAUACCGGAAAUCAGAGUCCCGAAAUAGACCAGAUCUGACUCGCAUAAUGGUCAUCAUAGAGUAGGCGGCGUCCUGCACAGCCAUCUCAAUAGUAACCCCGAGUCCAUAGGAGCAGUGAAGAGGCUCGGUGGAUCCAGGAUAAGAUGGAAAUAUCCUGACAGUGCAGAGAUACUGGCUUUGAUUAAAAUCUCGAAAUUGCUCUUCGACCGUGUACUCAGGAUACCAGCGGUAUCCAGCCUCAGUCAUUACCCUGACCAACUUGGCAGUAUGGCCGAGUACAUCUAGGCAUCGAGUCAGGCGAACCACUUGAUUGAGGUCGCGAGUGGCCAUCUGAAAGUACAAUCAUAAUGCAAGGCAUUAGAAUUUCUAGCAAAAUUUCGGCAGCAUAACAGCUGUAAAUGCUCAAGAAGGAUUUUGAGACAUUUGACAAAGGAUUACAUACACACUCAUCAUCAUCAUAUCAAGUUCUGAGACCAUCCUAGCAACAUAAUGGGGUAGUGGAACUGAACUAGGCUUGGAUCCAUCAAACUUAUAAGGUACUACUGAUUAGUAACACGUGAUCCUGAUAGAGAGAACAGAUCCUAAUUCCUUAUCCCCCGGUAGAAGAAUGGACUGACUCAGAUCAGAAUGUCAUAAGAUAAAGGAGUAAAAAGAGCCUUACGUUCCAACCCACAAUCAAUUCCCCUACAUAUAACUAAAGAAUUUCUAGACUCAACAUCGACCAGUUUGGCUUGGAGAACCUACAGGCAGUCCGGCUCUGAUACCAACGCUGUCAGGACCCCGACUCGAUGUCACAUCGAUCUAGCCGGUAACACCUCAUAUCACUUUGCGGCCUCACGCACGGUAUCCCCACGGGUGUCGCCUUACCUUUGCCCGGGACCGUUUGCGCCUUUUGGCUCACGUAUAUGAUAGUGUCGCUAGCAUCCAUAUGAUAAAGAGCCCGGGCUGACAUGACUAGUUGUAAACCCAAAGUGGCACAGACUUACAGGGACAUGCAUCCAUGACCCAGCUUCGAACGUGUCGGUCAUCAGCAAGUGGGUCCGGGCUGUAGCACUGGGCUAGCAGGACUCCGGUAAACCGGGCUGUAGCGGGCUAACAGGACUCCGGUACUCAAUGCGUGACAUUUCCCCGAAGGGACAGACACAGGAACAAGGAAGGACACAUGUCGGCCAGCCUAAGUGUUCCAGAGCAGUAGCAAGCUACCAUGGCUCAGCGGUAACACUAGGAGACAUUUCCCGGUAAGAGAGGCUACUAAAGAUAAACAACUAGAUAGUCAGAUCCCACACAUACCAAGCAUUUCAAUCAUACACACAAUAUGCUCGAUAUGUGCAAAUACAACGAAGCAUCACAACAUGACUCUACGACACAAGUACUUUAUUUAAGGCUCAGGGAGCCAUACAUAACAUACACAAAGGUACGGGUCUCACGACCCAACAUACAAGUCAUACAGUCAUACAAACCAGCAGCGGAAGUAACUUGUCUGAGUACAGACAGCUAGUAAAAUAAAAGAGGCUUGGAAAGCCUAGCUAUACUACGUGGUCCUUCACAAGCUCAAGAUCACCACCUGGGUCUUUAACCUACUCGUUGAUGUCAACGUCUACAUAGAACCCAUCAGAAGGGGUUGCAGCGUCUUCUGUAAAAAUGUAGAUUAUAGCAACAUGAGUACAAGGGUACUCAGCAAGUCUUACAUCAGAUCCUACAUACAUGCAUGUUGUCAAGAAGGGUUGGUGGAGUUAUUGCAGCAAGCCAGCUUUGACUCUUGGCUAGGCUAUCCUACGAUACUCCAACUUGAAAUGGUUUUGCGCACACGAGUCCACUACUCACCACUUCAAUACACCACCGAGGAUCCGCCUCCGUCUUCCUACGGAAGAGCCAUCCUCGGCACUCACACUUAUCUUGAGGCUUUUAGUAGUUUCCAUUUACUUGUCUAUGAACUGUAUAGGCAACCAAGUAGUCCUUUACCGCGGACGCGGCUAUUCGAAUAGAUUAUGAUAACCCUGCAGGGGUGUACUUCUUCAUACAUGUUUCCACCACUUAGCGUCUGCACACGACAUGUGCUCGGCAGACUUCAAGCGAAAGCCGACGUGGGUGUAGACCACGACCUACCUAAACACUUAAGCCUCUAGUCCAGGUUUAUCGCCUAUCCAGGUUCCAUCCGCAGGGAGUCCGGCCGAGGUUUCCCAUACGGCCCCGAACGAUGUGAACAGGGUUCCUGAGAUACCUAACGGGUAUUCGGUACACCCGGCCACGUACCUACCGCAUCACAGCCCACCCCUACGGUCAGCGCUGUCCACGGCCUCCAGUAGGCUACAAACACCAGAAACUACUUGCAACUCCUGGACGGAGAACUAGGGUGAAUAAGAAGCCGAGAGGGUCCAUUGGUUUCGGGCCCAAUGCAUGGUAGUAGCUGAUUCUUAAAUCACACAUACAGAUCUUAGUGCUUAAGGUCGGCUUCAAUGAAACAACCCACCAUGUACUCCUACAUGGCCUCUCAUCGAUACCUUUACCAAAUCGUGUUCACCACACCACUCUCAUUACCGACAUAAUCAUUUCACUCCAGCCCAUCACCCCGAUGAACCAGACCUGACAUGACUCUAAGCAUAGCAGGCAUAGCAAGGUAGGAACAACACAUACAUAUGGCUCAAGCAACUCCUACACAUGCUAGUGGGUUUCAUCUAGUUACUGUGGCAAUGACAGGUCAUGCAGAGGAAAUGGGUUCAACUACCGUAGCACACAGCAGUUUGAAACGCGUUGUCUUAAUGCAGUAAAAGAGAGCAGGAGCGAGAACAUGGGAUUGUAUCGAUAUGAUCAAAUGGUUGGUUGCUUGCCUGAUGGUUCGAUGCACGGAUACGGUUCUUCGUUAGGGUAAUCACGGUACUCCUCGGAGGCAGAACCUGUCGCAAAGGACACCGAUAUACAACCAUCACCAAACAAUGUGCAACAAUAUGAUGCAUGCAUGAAACAUGGCAAUAUGAGUGUGUUGGGCUAAUGCAACUAAAACCAGAAGGGUUUGAACAAAUUUGAAUCAAAGAUUCAAAUUUCAAACUCAAAUAUGGCCUUUUAAAGUGCUUUUUCUUGUUCUGCUUAAAACAUCAAUUUAACUUGUUUGAUCAUGCAUGAAAAUAGUACAGAUGGAUAGAUUGGAUUUUUCUGAUCAUUUUUCAUAUAUAAUUUGUCUAAUUUGGAGUUACAGAAUAAAAGUUAUGAAUUUUUGAAGUUUAAAUAAUAUUCUGGAAUUUCCUGAUUAAAAUUAAAUCCAGAAAUAUAGUUAUUGCGCCAGCAUGACGUCAGCAUGACGUCAGUGGUCAACUGCGGCUGGCUGAGGUCAAACCUGACGUGUGGGGCCCACACGUCAGUGACAGGGGGUUAAACAGGAUUAAAUUAAUCCUAAUUAGGGAUUAGUGGCGCUGGGGCCCACUGGUCAGUGUCAGGGGGUUAACUAACAGUGGUUAGCGCUAAUCCUAAUUAGCUACAGGGCUGGGCCCACCUGUCAGGGACUCAGGGGGUCCUGCCGUGGUCAAAGUGGGUCAAACCCACCGGCGACGUGACGCCGGCGAGGCCCGAGACGGCGGCGCGAUGCGGGAUCGCGCUACAUGGCACGGGCGAGGCCGUUCUUGGGCUCGUUGGAGAGCUCUUGCUCCCGCGCGUCGAACGGUGGUGGCGGCCGAGCCUGGGGUGGCCGGUAUCGUCGACGGCGAGCUCGUGAGCGGCUGCCGGAGUUCGGGUGCGGUCGGAGUCGGUGUUGCAGGGGGUUUGGGGAGGCGUUGGUGCGUGCUGCGUGCUCCUAGUGAGGCGUGGAGCAUGAUAGUGUGCUCGGUUGGGCGCUACGGUGACCGUGGCCAUGACGGCGACAUCGCCGGCGGCGUGGAGCUCUCGGCCAAGGUGGGGCUAAGGCCUAGAGGUCGAAAGAGACCAGGGGAGAAGGGGGAAACGACUCGGGGGCUCACCGCGGUUGCAGUGGGCGUCGAAGCGGGCUCGGAGACGCGCUGGAGAUGGUGAAUUCGACGGCGAUGAUGGUCGGAGCCCGAAGAGGGGAACGGCGACGUGGCGGCGAUGCAGGGCUUCCGGAGGCCCGUGAAGUGGUGGGGAGGAAGAGGGGGUUGUGGCGGAGCUUCUGAGCUAGUCGGGGGAGCGAGGGGUGGCCGGAGACGGCUGCUAUGGCGAACGUCGGCGACGGUGGUGUUCGGCGGUGUGAGAGAGAGAGCGAGGGAGAGGAGGGAAGAGCCGAGGGCGAGUGAGAGAGAGCCGGGGGAAGGCGUGGCGUCGUCCAGGGGCAUCGAGGCGAGGAGGGGAGGGCAGGCAGGCAGGGAGAGAGGUGGCGUGGCGCGGUGGCGCGCGCGCGCGCCGGCCACACUCCCCUCCCUCUGUCGGGACGAAGACGACAGAGGAGGGAGACGGGCUGGGCCGCCUGCUGGCUGGGCCGGCCAGCUGGAUGGGCUGCACAGGGAGGAGCCCAGGUAAGCUUCUCCCUUUUAUUUUUUUUUCUGUUUUCUAAUUUCUGACAUUUGUUUUGAUUUAAAUAAUAUAUUAAAUCAUUUAUUUAACUUAUGCCAAUUUUUGCAGGGGCUAGAUAUAUUAUUCCAGAGCUCCUUUAUAAUUGGCAUAAUAUUUGGACAUAUAUUAAUAUAUAUAGAAUAUAUUUCCAAUGCAAAUAUUUAUGCAUUAAUUCCAAAUGCCCAAAAUAAAUGUCCAUGAGCCACUAAAAAUAUUGGUUUGAUUUUUAUCUCUGUCCAAUAUUUUCAGAGAGCAACAUGAGCAUUUUCUUGGACCCUUUUGGAGAAAUUUUUAUUUGGGUCAUUUUCAAAAUGAUUCUGAGGGUUUCACAGAUCCCCAUUUCAAGUUAAAUGGAAAUUUAAACAUGAUGCACACACUCUGAUGCAUGACUAGCUAGGGUGUGACAGGUCCCUUAGUGGAAUCACGACAUUUUGCAUUGUGCGAGGGCGUGAGGAGAUUACGGUGGCCCUAGUGGCUUCUUGGGGAGCAUUGUGCCUCCACACCGCUCCAAACGGAGAUUAACAUCCGCAAGGGUGUGAACUUCGGGAUACAUCAUCGUCUCCGCGUGCCUCGGUUAUCUCUUACCCGAGCCCUUUACUUAUGCACUUUACUUUGUGAUAGCCAUAUUGUUUCUUGUCAUAUAUCUUGCUAUCACCUAAGUAGUUUUUCUUGCUUAGCAUAAGUUGGUGGUGCACAUAGAUGAGCCUAGUUGUUGUAGGUUUUGUGCUUGACAAAUUAACCGCUAGGUUUAUUCCGCAUUUGUUCAAGCCUCAACCGUAAUUAUUUUAAAGCGCCUAUUCAUCCCCCCCUUCUAGGCGACAUCCACGAUGUUUCAGCUGCCCCCUGUCCGAGCUGCUCCACCACCUCAUCACACAGACGACGACGAAGACACGUCGGGGGCCGGCCCGCUAGGACCCAGAUGGGGCCCGCAGGCCUCGAUCUGGGCCAGGGACGCGCCACCGGCCAACCAGCGCCACCACGCUGUCUCGCCGCCGAGGGGCCGCGCCACCAUCAUGCGAGCCGCCUGCCACCGCGCCGGGACGCCGGGCCGUCAUCAGGCCGAGGGGCACAGCCGCCGCCCCCAUGCCCUGGGCAGGGAGCCGCGCGCGCGGGGAUAGGCAGGCCCCCCCGCCGCCAACACCACCCGGCCAGCGCCGGAGGCGCCCGUCGGCGGCGGUAGGGAGGAAAGGAGCGACGAGGGCGGCCGAAGUUCUUGCCUCUGUGCUAGGAGAAACCAAAGAGCGGUGGCUAUGGAGUUUCUGAUGCAGCCGGUCAACAUGUACGUUUCUUUUGUUAAUCCUCGUUUCUGAUCGGUCGCCGCAUUUUUUGGUAAUAGAUUCCCCACCCCCAAUGCCCAGGUUCCUGCUAGUCAAGGGCAUGGAUGACAUGGAACGACCAUUGGAUCUGGGCGAGUAGGCCGUCUCGGUGAGCCUCGAACUGGUCAUGACGACCAUGGAUUGUUCUGCGAUGGAAGCAGCGAGCGGGGAAGCGCAACUGGUGGCAGCUUUGGAUGGCCCUGUCAAGGGAAAGAGGAGCUCUCCCAUUGUCUCUCAACAAUCAACUGGUAAAGUCAAUCUAGAGUCUCCCGAGUGGACAAAGAGGUGAGACUGCAGUGCAAACCCAUCCCUUUGAUUUUCACCGCUUCUUAGUGUAUGCUCGUGUGUACUCUACAGCUAGCGACAAUGAUACUCCCAUGUCCUUCUUAAUGGCUCAUGAUUUUCUCAACAACUUAUUUUGUUUGGGUCAUGUUUGCAGAGUUAGGGUUCGUUCAACUGCCCUAGGGAGGGACCCAUGUCCUUCGAGGACAAAAUCACUGGAGACAGCUAUAAUGAGCUUUGCCGAAAGUCCUGGAGAUGAUGUGAUAGUGCGGAGGCUUGGGACCAGCUCUGAUACAUUGGACGAGGCGUGCGAUUUCUAUAACCUUUAUUCAUGGGAGAAGGGUUUUGGCAUACAGUAUGAGAAAAGCAGAUUGAAGGUAGAGAGGACCAAAUUCAUGUACGGUACGGUGAGUAGGCAAUAUGUGCAACAUUCAAAUUUAGUCUUGCUUGAUGAAUGGUAGCUAAAUACUAUUACCUUCGUACCAGAAUAUAAGACGAUUUUGUAGACUAAUUAGUAAUUAGACUACAAAAACGUCUUAUAUUUUGGCACGGAUGUGGUACUUCAAAUUAGCACAUUCAAAUGCUGCCGCAAUUGUUUUGACAUUGCUAAAUGAGGUCUUGCUUGAUGAAUGGUAGCUAAAUAGUACAUCCAAAUUACCACAUUUUUAUAAAUCCACAUUGCGAAAUGGAGUAUGCAUGACGCGCAGGUGCUUGACUUCAUCCAUCUUAAGCAAACACCCGCGAGGUAUAUUUUAAAAGAUGGAUGAGGGGUUCUCGGGACGUGACGCAGCUCACCUGACCCAAUACCAGAAGGACCAGAUGUACAAACGACCAUUCACUUACAGGCACUUCAAUAUGUAUAUGCAUGCAAGGGAGCGGGUGCAUCCAGGAGACACAAAGUGUGGAUGCGUACGGCAAACUAAUGGCUCUAUUGAAGGUGAUUAACUGAUUAUGUAGGAGACGCAGCGCUCGACGAGGUUUGAGACGGACUAGGGCUGGAGGAUAGGGUUGCAGAGAAUGGAAUUGUUGUAAGUUAGCUGGAGUACCAAGCCGUUGGAGAAGAUUUAGGACAUAUACAACAAUUCGAUAAAAGGAAUGGCAGGAUGUUUGCUGCGGCUCAAAGAAAAGAAGCCAGUCAUCCAACAACCAGUAAGGAGAAAGCACCAUAUCAAGGACUCAACAAGUGGACAAGAUUUUGUAGUAUCUAUUAGAAAAACGGUCAUAUAAGAAAACAACAUGCCUUGACAGGGGCGACGCUCCAAAGCAACCAAUGAGGCCUGGUAGGUGUAAAAAUUGUGCUGUCAAGACAUCUCAUGAACAAUUGCAUAAAGCCUCUUGAGAUGAGGUUGCCUGUCUUGACGUAGUGACUUGUUGACGCUGGAGCAUCCAUAACUGUGUUGUUGGUGGGAUGUUUGAUUUUUGUGAGUUGUAGAUUAUGUGAUUGUGCCUGAAUUCAUGAGCUGUGCCUCCAUGUUGUACCUAUUUUUUCCCUGAUAAUGUUCAACUGGCAUGAAAUUUCCAGUUUGACCUUUCGAAUGUUUCGAAUGAUAAUAUUUUUGCGGUGAUACUGUCCUAUGAGCUUUUCUAAGAACUGAUCUGUAUGUAUCUUGGGUGGACUUAGUAUGGCUGCGGUUCGCUUGAGUGCAAGUGAGCUGAAUCAAAUGAUCGUUUAAACUAGAAGUUGGUAUUUUUCUUAAAGCAGAACACAUUCAGUACUUCGUAGAGUUCAGUUUCUAGAAUUGACAGGUGAUGCACAGGGGUUUCCCCCCGUUUAUUGAGGAUCAAGUUUGGUGUGUGGUGAAACCACUCGUCAAAAAAUAUCUUGAUACUCAUUUAAAAAAAUUAUGAGGACCAUGUUUAUCUUGGUACUCAUACUAAAAUGGCCGUAUGCAUCCCUAGUUGAUGCAGAGGCCGGGAAGUGAAAUUCUCCCCAAUUUUUAGGCAAAACUUGGAACGGAUAUAUACCUAUCCGCUCGCCUAACCCCUCAUCCGCCUCCGUGUGCGGCCAGAGGAGAACCCUAGCCGUUGCCACCAUCGUCGGGCGUCUCUCCCCUGCCUCCCUCACCCUCGCCGCCGCCAGCAGGGCCGCUGGGCGAAGCCUGGCCGGCAAGGGCGGCGGCGGGGCAUCUCUCCCCUACGCGCGAUCUGGCUGGCACGGGACAACCUGUGCGUGAAGUGGCGCCGGACUACCGUGGGGUUCGGCGGCGCUGCGGGCGGAUCCUGGCGGCAGCGUGCAUGGUGCGCUGAUGGCUGGAGUCCACGCUUGCAGUGCGGAUUGGCGGCUGUGGGAGCGCUGGAUCUGGUGGCUGCAUGAGCCGUCGUGUUCGGUUCAAAUCUUUCGCGAUCUGGCGCUUGGACGCCGGUGGCCAGUGCGGGGUGGUGGUACUCGUCGUUGCCCAUGUUGGAUUCUCUGGAUCUGGAGCCUGGACGGAUCUGCACCAGAGUCGCCCCAUGGUGCUUUCUUCUCCAGAUGGUUUUGUUUCUCAGUUUGUGGCCAGAUCCGGAGCAGACAGAGUUUGGUGGUACAGGUUGGGGACCGAAGGAAACUUUGGUCGGCUAGCUCGACCCGGCAUCGGCGACGUCUUUGGCGUCGUUACCCUCCUUGGAGGCGAAGCCGAGGUCCCCUCCUAUCCACCUUUGACCCACUCGCGGACGAAAGUCCAAAAUCCGUCUUAGAUUGGGCGGUGGCGGCGCCCUUAGCGUCGUGUCCUCCAUGGAGGUGCCAUCUUGGGAGGCUUGGGUGUUCGGGGGAGAUGUACUGUGGGUGGGGGCACGGCAGUUCCUGUAGCGGCGAUGGUGUGGAGGUCGGCAGGUGGAGCGACGUUGGAUCUACCGCAUCGACGAUGACGAGUAUUGGCGGCAUGGUGUAGCUGAUUCUUGACGACGAAUGUGUCUGGAUGGACGUGCGCAGGAGGAGGACCAUGUCUGGCGUCAUAGUGGCGUUGAUGGCAGAGAGGCCUGGCAAGGUCGGUACAUCAUUUUUGUUCUGAGGAUGGACCGAGGGAUGAUAGAGGUGACGGCUCUUGCAGCAUGCGGUGGUCACUGGAAGUGUGCCAGACCGGGAUGGGACCCAAUCCAGGUAGUGGCUUGGAUGGGACACCCGGCUUUAGAUGUUAGGCUUUGGUGUGAUGUCUAUUUGGUAUUAGGCACGGACUUUCGGCACACCUUCAUCAAAGAGAUAGGAGUAGCAACAGCGUUGCCAAGAUGGUGACUUCAGGCUUAUUGAUGAAUCACCUUGUAUGGUCUUUGUGAAUAAUUAAUAAUAUGAUUGCAUGCAUCGUCCAGAUGCAGAGGCCGGGGGUACAUCCUCCUUUUCUAAAAAAAACUUCGUAGAGUGAGCAUUAAAUACUACUGUUCACCCAUACCUAUACCUUGAGUUUGAAAAAUUAGAAUUGAGUUAAUUACAGUUUUAGUACACAAACUUGCAGCGGGGGUACAAUUUCAUACAAGAACUUGCAAAAUGACUCAAAUUAGCCCCUAAACUUGCUCUGCGAGAACAAAUUGAUACAGUUUAGUCUAAAACUUGCCAUAUUGGACAGGAGGCACGCAUCGGCCAGACGGCCAGUCCGAUAUUAUGAAGAAAUGCCCCCAAGUAUAGCAAUAAAUGAACCCGUGGUCCUCAGAGAGAGCUGGUAGUAGAAAACUUAAAAGCGACCCUGAGGUUGUGCAAAAUAUUACAUUUGCACUGCGAACCCAGUACAAACCCUACGUCUGUUCGGGUUUUCGCCUGCCUGUUUGUUUCUCAUCGGCCGCUUAGGCUGUUCGUUUCUCAUCAGCGACGAGUGGCGGUGCUGCCUAGUUGGUCGUCGCCAACGAGAUCGUCACUUGAUGGAGCCACGUCCCCGGGGCAUUGGCGAGUUUCCUUCGGAUUAUGGUAUGCACACUCCUGCUAUGUUGGAUGGUCCCCUAUUUCGGACCUCUUAUGACUAGGGUUUUGAUCAUGUUUGAACAGAGGUAUUCGUUCUUGAUCGGCCCACUUAAACUAAAAACAGAAAAUUAAAGACAAAAACUAAAAAUUAACUUUAACAAAAACUCUAAAUGCAAAGAUUAGGAAUACUAAACUCCUCCCCGACAACGGCACUAGAAAAACUACUUGAUAUCUCCUUUUUAUUGAUCUGGUAUUGGAACAGAAAAAAGUAUCCCGCACACAUUUCCCUCGAGGUGACCCUGGUUUAUCGAACCCACAAGAGGAAGAUUCCCUUGAAGCGAUGGUCUCUAGCAAGCUUUCGUCAAAGUGUCAAAUCCAGCUUUUGACCGGAUCAACAAGCAAAUAAUGAUUUAAACACUUAUAAUAAAAAGAGGUAUGGGUAUGAGGUCUUAUGCUUACAACCUUGUAUUUGUGAUGGGAUCAAAUAUGAUGUUAGUUUCUGCGCUGCACCCGUCGAGAUGUGCUUGCCACGGAUCAACGCGGAAAUACCUUCGGUCAAACACGAUCAAAACCCUAGCCAUAAGAGGGCCGAAAUAGAGGACCAUCCAACAUAGCAGAAGGAGUGUGCAUACCAUAAUCCGGUGGAAACUCGCCAAUGCCCCAGGGACGUGGGCCAUCAAGCGACGAUCCCGUCGAUGGCGACCAACCAGGUAGCACCGUCGCUCAUCACGGACGAGAAACGAACAGCCGAAGCGGCCGAUGAGAAACGAAUAGGCAGGCGAACACGAAUAGACGAAGGGGUUUGUGUUGGGCUUGCAGUGCAAACGUAAUAUUUUGCAUAACCUCAGGGGUCGUUUUAAAGUUUUCUACUACCAACUCUCUCUGAGGACCGCAGUUUCGCUUAGUGCUAUACUUGAGAGCGUUUCUGCGUAAUAUCAGACUUACCGGCGCGUGCCUCCUGUCUGACGUGGCAGGUUUCAGACUAAAUUGCAUCAAUUUGUUCUCGCAAAGCAAGUUUAGGGAUUAAUUUGAGUCGUUUUGCAAGUUCUUGUAUGAAAUUGUAUCCCUGCUGCAAGUUUGUGUACUAAAACUGUAAUUAACUCAUUAGAAUUUCAAAACAACUGGGCUGGAAGAGAGGACGAUUGGCAGUUGGUGGCAGUCGCUGGCCAGAGAUAAAUGCGAUGGCCCGAGAGUUAAAAGGGACAGCGGCCAAGCUGUGACGGCUCAGUUUGCAUUAGCUAUGGAGCGGGCCAAGUUGUGUGCGCUAGUUAGAAAUACCAUCGAGAAUACAUCUGAAGAUACAUUGGCGUGAACAAAUCUUUGGGCCAAAGGACAGCGUAGAUAUAGCUAUUAUCUAAGCUCGUGCUCAGAUAAGCACUUUCGGGUUUUUUCAUGUGAGAUAAAUACAUGUGUGGUCAUUAAAGUUGAGGUCAAAGCACACUAGGGUCACUGAAUUUCAAAAUACACAUAAUACGGUCACUAAAUACGAGUUAUGGUGAUUAUACGGUCACUGCAUCACCCUAGAGCAAUGUAUUUUGUCGAGUUGACCGGUCAAACUAUCACCUAGUGAUGCAUGGUCACCGCCACGUCCUCUCUAUCCUGUAGGUCCGACUUGUCAGCUGGUGGCAAAAUAAAUAAAAAAUUCUUCACGCCGGGGAACGGAUUCGAACCCGAUUUCACACGGUUGGAGAUCACCAAGGCUAACCACUUGAUAAAACAAACUUGGAUGCAGCAGUAUCGAUCUUUCUAAUUUUAUAUAAACGUCAAUGCAUGCACCCAGGUACAGCAUGCGCAGUCGAACACAACCCAUGCAGCCAGAUCAGGUACACAGCACGUACGAACAGGCGCACACAAAGCAUGCACGCAGGUGCAACGCAUGCACCAGGCGCACACCACGCACAUAUACAACGCAUCCAUGCACACACACUCGGGUGCAUGGAGGCGUACAUCACCUACGGCAACGUCUGAUUCGUCGUGCUACGGCGAAGUUUGCCCACAACAGCGCCAUGUGCCAUCUCCCGCGGCUCCUUCUUGUCGUCAUUGUUCAGCGGCUGGACGGAGACAAAGGCGAUCACAUCCUCGGCCUUAGAGCAUCAGUUGAACAAGGACGUACGCGAGUAGGUUCUUUCGAGGGGCUGAAACAACAGGUGAUCAAGAGCGGCUCAGCACGAGCAGGACUCCAUCCAGGAGCGCAUCAACGAUGAACAUGUCGAGCAGGAGCGCGUUCACCGUAGCAGGUUUUUGAGCAUUAAAAAAACAUGAGCAUGUCAUGGACGAUGAAGGGGUUGGCUGCGGCAAGGCACGUCAUGGCGUCGUUCGAGACGACGGCGCUGUCUAGCUUGUCGAACAUGGCACGGGAGAAGGUUUAGUGCCGACAAGAGGUGUCCCGCCUCAACGGUGCUGGUCCCGUCUCCAUGGAGCAUCACGUCGUUGACGUCGAGGCCGCACGCACGCAUGGACACGCUAACACGCACGCACCAUACGCACGCAGAACAUAAAUAAUAAAAAACACACACAAACAUGCACAACAGAAAUCAGGGACGAAGCUAGAAAAAAAAGCUUGAUGGGGUCAUAUCCAUGACAAUGGGGUCAUCUUUUAUAAAUAAAAAAUGAUUAAUACUAAGUUAAUGAAAGAUUUAGUAAUUUCAUUGGGGUCAAUUGACCCCAAUGCCUACAUGCAAGCUCCGUCCCUGACAGAAAUGAGAAAAAACACGAAGCACACACUAAUAUGCACGCGCUAGCAAAAGAAAACAUCACACAUUAGCAGUCAAAGAAAAAGUUGGUAAAAGCAAUCGUACACAAACGAGUUACAUCGAGACAUUGUAUUGAUUAACCCUCAGGUUAUCAACGCUAAAGAACGACGGUCCUGGUGGUUUGCGCGUGAGUUCUACGACACUGAGUUCAAUUCCCGGCCAUUGGAGUAAUUUAUUUUUCUUCAUUUAUCUCUUAUACUCACUUACAGGUGGGACCCAUUGAGUAGAGAGACAACAAAAUGCUCAUGGUGCUGCCUUAGUGCCACAAUAGACUAUUUGAUUGGUCAACUGAACAAAAUACGGAGCUCUACAGUGAGUUAGUGACCGCAUAAUCACUGCAACUCGUAUCAGUGACCGUAUUAAGCGUAUUUUGAAGUCCAGUGGUCGUAGUGUGCUUCAGCCACAACUUCGAUGACCACAGGUGUAUUUAUCUCAUGUUGAGCGAACACAAGAUUCCUUUCACAUGGAUAUCGCGAAUUCCCGGAUGCCUACCAUGCCCAUCAGCGUUAAACGACUUCUCAGGCAUCCAGCUAGCAAUAUGAACAUGACUAUUGAUCAAGGCAAAGCCGAGCUACAGCCAGUCCCUUAAAUAGAGUUGAAACAUAUGGGGGCAUCCGUCCAUGCCGUCCUCUACUUAAUUACAAGAGAUCUCUAGAAGUGGCUGUACACUCCCACAUGCCAUUCUGAAUUUCUCAUAUUGUACUAGUGCUUCUGCUGAAAAUUCGCAUAGUACGUACAACCCAUACAUAUGUGUUCCGGUCAUAUGUUCAAAUUUAUGUGUGUAGAGUCUUCAAGCACAAGAGCGCACCACCGACUAUAUUACUUGCCUUCAUUGAGAUCGAGGCCAACCUUUGGAUCAUCGCCGGUGCAAAAAAAAUUAGGAUCCAUUAUUUUGCAAGAAUAAUGUUAUGUCGUGUAUUCGGGUUAUUUGUAACAAACUCUAUUCUCCCUUAUUUAAUGGAUGAGGCAAAGGUUUUGCCUCCGUUCAAAAAAAUAAAAAAUUUAUGUGUGUCUCCUAAGGCCAACGCUCAGGCUAUCGACAGCUUUGCUGUGACUGGCAGGUGGGCCAGUGUGCUUCUCUAUUUUCAUUUUUCUUUUUUUGCCUGACUGCUUUCUCAGGUGCACCGAAUUGGAUGGGUCGCUGUGAGUAUCUCGCUGGGUUGGCAGGGUAUGGAUGUGGUCUGUUCCUUGAGCAGAAAGCCCACCAACGUCGCCUGCAGCCACCGUCGCUGGAGAAGACGACCAAACGCCCAGAUACAGAAAAGCUUCCUCGUAUGUAUACAUAUACACAGCGGUAAUUGCCUUUGGCUCCUAGGUGCUUAUGCACCCAUUGUCGAAAUACACAUUUUGAAAAGUUGAAAAUUCGAAACAAAAAUCCCACGUGUAUAUCCGAAUAUUUUAUGUGCGUUCACAAGGUUUCGGUGAAAAAUGACGUUUUUUGCGGCUUGUGUAAAAAAGAUAAUUUCUGAUGCUUCAUUCUAACUAUUCACGAGGCAUUUUUUUAUCUUUUUUACACAAGCCAAAACACCGCGUCCUAUACACAGGCUAAAACAGCGCUCCUCGUUUAGUACAAAGUUGGGUCAUCUAUUUUGAAACGAAGGGAGUACGUGCAUGCCAGUGUCAAAACUUGCCACGUCCAAUCAUCAUGGAAGUAAGUCAUAAAACAACCUGUUUCCACGACUCCACACAUAUUUACAGAUCAACAGCCAGUCAUAAAACAUACAUUGAUAUUGAGCUUCAUUUUAGCUUGUGUUUGGUGUUCAAUUUUGUUUCCCUUAUGAACAGGAUUAAAUUCUUUUUGAAAUAUAUUUAGGUGGGGGAGAUUUUUCUCUCUGGAAAAUAUUAACUGAUACGACCGCUUCAGUAGCAGCUUGCAUAAAAAUACAAAUGAAUUAGCGAAAGUUGAUCAGAAUUUUGUGGCAGUACACCAAUACACGGUGUUUUAUGCCUUGGAGUCUACCAAUACACGUGUCGCUAAGUGGUUGGCCUUCCAGGAUAUUUCGGGCAGGUCUCGGAGAGUCGGACCCGUCGCCAUGUCUGGAAAGGCGUUGUCACAGCUAAAGUUUUGCUGUUACAUCUGGACGCUUGAACCGGUGAAGGUUGUCUAAGUUUCCUCAAUUCAAAAUAAUUGUCGCUGGCCCAUUUAUAAGCAAAACCGUGUGCUCAUGCUUGUAACAAGGAUACUAAGCUUGAACUAAAUUGUACGAGCAGGCAUAUAAACAAUACCCGGAUGCCUGUGGUGGAUCCCAGCUGAGAGAGGAGAGCUGAACACACCGUGUGUUCGACGAGAUUUUGUACUACAUUUUGUACGUAAUAAAAAAGUUGUUUGAUGAUAAUUUGUACCAAAAUCUUUUUCUCCCUUUCCUCAUAACUUGAGGAGGAGCCUAUAUGAAUUUGUGUGGAGCAAGGAACUGUCCAUAGACAUGUGCGUGCGUUCCAAAGAUGCCCACACAUAUAUACGGUGCUAUGCUCACACCGGCUCAAUUAAACAAAUACAUUACUUGAAAAUGUGUUAGCAGCCGGCUGACUAAUCAGCAGUAUAUUACUGGCUAGCCCAAGUUACUAUGUAUGUUUAUGUAGGGGUGCAAUUGAACUGCAUGGACUAUGCAUGGCUGGGGCACGUACAAGAUCAAUGGCAAAGCGUCCCACGUACUAGCAUUUGUGUGCAUUAGCAUGGCACAUGCACGUGACAGGCUUGGCGCAAGACUUUGCGGCCAACGCGUGCGCGCACGGCCCGGUCGACGCGAGUGUGAUUGGUAUGUUGGUGUACAAAUACGUACCCGAAUACCCGCAUACCGGCCGGCAAGGAGGCGCGUACUCAAAUACGUGUGUUUCGCUCGUAGACCGGCGUGUACGCCAAGAUGAUCAGAAGAGAUAAACACCACGGAGCUGAUAUAGAAUAACAGGAACGUUUUCCUUGAUCGGGCCGGUCGAACGGCCAACACCGCGAGCGCCCUCAGCUCUUUCCGUCUGCCUAUAAAUACCACNNNNNNNNNNNNNNNNNNNNNNNNNNNNNNNNNNNNNNNNNNNNNNNNNNNNNNNNNNNNNNNNNNNNNNNNNNNNNNNNNNNNNNNNNNNNNNNNNNNNNNNNNNNNNNNNNNNNNNNNNNNNNNNNNNNNNNNNNNNNNNNNNNNNNNNNNNNNNNNNNNNNNNNNNNNNNNNNNNNNNNNNNNNNNNNNNNNNNNNNNNNNNNNNNNNNNNNNNNNNNNNNNNNNNNNNNNNNNNNNNNNNNNNNNNNNNNNNNNNNNNNNNNGACGAGGAGCCCAGCCAGGAGGCGACGCGCCAUGGUGGCAGCGUCUACAAGAUGGAGAACGUGCGCAUCCAGGCUUAGGCAACGACACGCCGGCGGCGGCGCGCACGUUCGUUGGCGUCGAGGACCGGGCGAGCACGGCACCCAUGAGGAGGUGCCCACGACGGCAACAUCGGAGAGAUACGCUCUCGCCGGGCAACUCACACGGCAUGCCCGCACCCAGGAGGCAACGGCGCGCGUGCCUUACCCCUGGCGCCGGACCGACGUCCAACAGUCCAGAAACGGUGUUCUUUUGAGGACACGCCGACGGCGACAACGCGCAUCGAGGAGAAGGAUUUGGCUAUGCAACGCCAAGGUAUGAAGGAUCUUAUGUUUGUUAAAUUGCAGGUGGCGUAUGCAUGGGUCGUUCAUGCGUACGUACACACCCGAUACGGCAAAACUCGACAGUCCGACCACGCCGGGCGCUCGGCGGUAAGGAGGACUCACCCGGCUGGAGGGACGCGGCCAGCGUCGAGGGGACCUGGAGGGAACCCACGCAGAGAGGAAGAACGCGUCCGUUGCGGCGGCGCUCUCGACGGGCAACACACACGGCCGCUCUCGGCUGCACGCGUGCCGAGGAGGGCGCAGGGCAGCGAGUUGACGGCUGCCGCUAUGACGUGGCGGAGCCCGCGUGAAGGAGCAUGCCCAGUCGUUUGAGGUCAACAUAUACAUGUAUCUACUCUUCUUGUACGCAGGCCGUGAUACACAUACACAUACACAUACGCAUCGGGCUGCCGUUGGCGAGUAGCUCCAGGCGCACUCCUCACCGGUGACACCCACACGCCGGCAUGCCUUCAAGAUGAUGUGCCUCUCAUGUCGAACCCGCGGCGUCCUUUCAGGCCUGACUCACCACCGGCGACGAUGCACCGGGGUUGCCCUUCGUGUGUAGCCCUCCGGUGAUCCCUUCAUACUAGACUCCCCACCGGCGACGACGCGCCGGGGCUGCCGUCCAUGUGCUGCCCCUGGCGAUCCCUUCAACGCGUCCUUGUGUCGAUGCCCAGGCGAGCACGGCACACCUAUGAGGCUGUGCCCACUACGCUCUGGCCGGGCGUCGACGCGCGUGCCGUACCCUUGGCGCCGGACCGACACCCUACGGUCCAGAAGUAGAGCAACGCAGCGGUGUUCUCUCGGAGGACACGCCCGCGUCGACAACGCGCGCCGUGGAGAAGAAUUUGCCAUGCAACGCUAAGGUAUGGUCAUAUGUUUGUUCAGUUGCAGGGGGCACCACCAGGAGACGUACGCACGUGGGCAUUGACUUUGCACCUAGCCAAGAACUCACGCACGCACGAGCAGAAGAACGGAGGCAUCGGGAGGGGGAGGCCGAGGCCAGAACUCCCGACCCAACGCACACGGCCAUACAGGAGAGCUCACACAGGCGGCCGAGACUCCCGUACGCAGCCGGACGAGGCUCACCAGAGGCCAUCUCUUCUGCCAGCCUGCGCGCACACAUCGAAGGCCGGCGGUGAAGAUCGAUGUCAUGCUGAUCAUCUUGUCUCAAGCCUGUGCUGCACCCUCGAUCGACGACAACGACGAUGUGCCGGGACUGCCGCUCUUAUGCAGCCCCUGGUGCGCCCUUCUUUGAAGACGCCAGACGCCAGGGUUGCCGCUCAUGUGCAACCCGGGUGGUUCCUUCAUGCCAGACUCUUCACCGGCGACGAUGUGCCGGAAAACUGCCAGCGGAGACGGGAUGCACCACCGGCCAGGCUGCUGGUGCGCAGCUCAGGGGCACACCCCCUGAUCGGCUAAUGGGUGAUGAGAACUCAUGCACCCAUCCAUCCAUCAUGCACGCGGGUGGCAAGCAUCCCGGAGGAGAACGUCAGGGCUUGGCUUCCUUCUCGUGCAGGCGGCCGAGUGUAAGACAAUAGGCUUUGGGGAGAACCGGCACAACCCUCUAGGGGUGGCCUAUCAUAUAUAUAUAUAAUGAGGUGGUAUACAACGUUACAAUAUACACAUGUAAAUACAGUCUAACACCCUCCCUCAAUCUUAGCCACUUUCUAAUGAAUCUAGAAGGGUAAGAUUGCGCCUGCAAGUCUCAAACUGUGGCAAAGGCAAUGGCUUGGUGAAGAUGUCAGCAAGUUGAUCCUUGGAAGAAAUAAACUUGAUCUGUAGUUGCUUCUGAGAGACACGUUCACGCACAAAGUGAUAGUCAACUUCAAUGUGUUUCGUUCGGGCAUGGAAUACCGGAUUUGCAGAAAGGUAUGUAGCACCGAUGUUAUCACACCAAAGAACAGGAGGCUGUGAUUGGGAUAUACUUAACUCCUGAAGCAAGGACUGUACCCAGAUGAUCUCUGAUGUGGCAUUGGCCACAGCCUUAUACUCAGCCUCAGUACUGCUACGCGAGANNNNNNNNNNNNNNNNNNNNNNNNNNNNNNNNNNNNNNNNNNNNNNNNNNNNNNNNNNNNNNNNNNNNNNNNNNNNNNNNNNNNNNNNNNNNNNNNNNNNNNNNNNNNNNNNNNNNNNNNNNNNNNNNNNNNNNNNNNNNNNNNNNNNNNNNNNNNNNNNNNNNNNNNNNNNNNNNNNNNNNNNNNNNNNNNNNNNNNNNNNNNNNNNNNNNNNNNNNNNNNNNNNNNNNNNNNNNNNNNNNNNUUAUCACACCAAAGAACAGGAGGCUGUGAUUGGGGUAUACUUAACUCCUGAAGCAAGGACUGUACCCAGAUGAUCUCUGAUGUGGCAUUGGCCACAGCCUUAUACUCAGCCUCAGUACUGCUACGCGAGACAGUAGCCUGUUUCCGAGCACUCCAGGCAAUCAGGUUAGAGCCAAAGAAGACAGCAUAACCCCCCGUGGAUCGCCUGUCAUCCGGAUUGCCAGCCCAGUCUGCAUCAGAAUAUGCUGAAAGACAACCAGAGUCAGACGGCCGAAUAUGCAAACCAUGAGCCACCGUGAAACGAAUAUAGCGCAAAAUCCGCUUAACAGCAGACCAAUGAGUGUCACGGGGUGACUGCAGAUACUGGCAGACUCGGUUAACAGCAUAGGAAAUGUCUGGUCGCGUGAUCGUCAAGUACUGGAGCCCACCAACAAUACUCCUGUACUCUGUUGCAUCAGAAGAAGAAAGAAGCACACCAUCAACAGCAUUGAGCUUAUCAGUGGUAGACAUGGGUGUAGUCGUUGGUUUGCACUUAAGCAUCCCGGCUCGCUGCAACAAAUCCAGAGAGUACUUCUUCUGCGUCAUAACAAGGCCAGCAGCACGAGAAGUAACCUCCACACCAAGAAAGUAAUGAAGCUUCCCAAGGUCCUUGAACGCAAAAUCAGCACCAAGUAAGCGAACAAGCGCAGUAGCAGCCGACUGAGAGGAGCUGACCAAAAUGAUAUCAUCUACAUAGACCAACAAGUACAUAGUAACCUCAGGCCUUUGAAGAAGAAACAAUGAGGAGUCAGCAGUUGAUGAUGCAAAACCAUGAGCACGAAGAGCCAUUGCAAGACGAGCAUGCCAAGCACGAGGAGCCUGCUUCAGACCAUAAAUUGCCUUGGACAGACGACAGAGAUGAUCAGGGCGAUCCGGAUCAGAGAAACCCGGAGGCUGGCGCAUGUAAACCUCCUCCGCCAAGACACCAUGAAGAAAAGCAUUUUGAACAUCAAGCUGACGAAGAAACCAACCUCGAGUAACAGCCAGAGAGAGAAGAAGUCUGAUGGUAGUAGGCUUGACCACUGGACUGAAGGUGUCUUCAUAGUCAAGUCCAAAACGCUGUCGAAAACCACAAGCAACCAGACGAGCCUUAUAGCGCUCAAUGGACCCAUCAGAAUGCCUCUUCACUUUGAAAACCCAUUUGGAAUCAAUGACAUUUACCCGUGAUUGUGGAGGAACAAGAGUCCAUGUCUGAUUGCGAAGAAGCGCUUGAUACUCCUGCUCCAUGGCCUCUCUCCAAUGAGGAAUGCGCAUAGCAGCUUGAUACGUGUGUGGCUCAGAGGAUGGAUCUGCGAGAGCAGCAGACAUGCACGCCGCUAACCAAGCAACUGUGCCAUCGUGACGUUGCUUAGGCUGAAAAAUGCCACUCCGACUGCGCGUAUGUGGACGUAGAGCAGCAGCAGGAGCCGACGGAGGCGAAGGUGACGGAGACGUGACGGUCGCCGGAGAUGCAGGAAUCACCUCAGGCGAGCUCGGGACAGACGACUCCGGACUGCAUGGCGAAGACUGGCCCGACGACAGGGGCUCAGAGGCCAUGGGCGAACCGAGAGUGGGCGAGGCCAGCUCCGGUGACACCGGCCCAGACGGCCUUGGCGAGGCGAGAGCAGGCGAGGCCGGCCCUGAUGAGAAGGGCCCAGACACCCUGGGCAAGGCAGGGGUGGGCGAGGCCAGGCCUGGUGAUGACUGCCCCGACGCCCUGGGCGAGACGGGGACCGAGGAGGCCGGCCCAGUCGGCGGGGUUGCAGGGCGCGACGAUGGCGAAGGCAGCCCAGAAGCCAGAGGCGACCGGGCCAGGAUGUCGAUCGGCCGUGCAUGAGCACGGAAACCGAGGCCAUGCAGGGGCGCCAUGUGCUCCUCAUGCACAACAGAAGGUGCCGAGGAUGAAGGCGAUGGCGACGAAGAGGAAGAUGGCACUUCCAGAAUCUCCAAACGAGCCCCACGACCAGUGUCUGCACCAUGGUUAGGCAGCAAUAGAGGAGAAUAUGCAACAUCAUCAAAUUGGUCAGAAGCAACAGAGGAUGAAUGCAUGACAGGUGGCUCGGUAGUGGACACAGGGAGUUUGGCAAAGGGAAAAACAUGCUCAUCAAACACAACAUCCCGAGAGAUGUAGACACGAUUAGUGGGCACAUGAAGACAUUUGUAUCUUUUGUGAAGAGAGCUAUAACCAAGAAAAACACACUUCUUGGAAUGAAACUUGAGCUUACGCUUGUUAUAUGGACGGAGAUGGGGCCAGCAAGCACACCCAAACACCUUGAGAAAGGUGUAGUCCGGUUGUUCAUUAAGGAGAACUUCAAUGGGAGUCUUCAUAUUCAAAACACGAGUGGGAGUAUGAUUGAUGAGAAAACAUGCAGUGGUGAAAGCAUCACUCCAAAAACGAAACGGAACAGAUGCAUGGGCCAAAAGAGUCAGACCAGCUUCAACAAUGUGACGAUGCUUACGUUCUACUGAACCAUUCUGCUGAUGUGUAUGUGGACAUGCUAAACGGUGAGUGAUCCCAAGCGACUGAAAGAAGGAGUUGAGGUUGCGAUACUCGCCACCCCAGUCCGACUGAACAUGAACAAUUUUGUGCUUGAGAAGGCGUUCAACAUGUUUUUGGAACUGAACAAAAAUGUCAAACACAUCAGAUUUACGUUUGAUAAGAUAAAGCCAGGUAAAGCGGCUGUAAGCAUCAACAAAAUUGAUAUAGUAAUUAUGACCACUAACAGAAGUCUGAGCAGGACCCCAUACAUCUGAAAACACAAGUUCUAAAGGAUGUUUCACCUCACGACUGGACUCCGAAAAAGGAAGUUGAUGACUCUUCCCCUGCUGACAAGCAUCACACACUGCUACAUCUUUAUUACUAGACACACUAGGAAGCUCAUGACGACGCAAAACAUGCCGGACAAUAGGUGUGGCCGGGUGACCAAGACGAGCAUGCCACUGUGACGGAGAUACCCGAACUCCACUGAAGACGCGAGCGACGCCAGGAUGCUCCAGACGAUAGAGACCUUGGCAGAGCCGCCCACUAAGAAGAAUGUCCCUCGUGCCCCGAUCCUUAUUAAAAAGAUCAAAAGGAUGAAAUUCACAAAGCACAUUAUUAUCACGAGUGAGUUUAGGAACUGAAAGAAGAUUACGUGUCACAGAUGGAACUCGAAGAACAUUGCGAAGUUGAAGACUCCUAUUGGCAUGUCUAGUGAGAAGUGAUGCUUGACCAAUAUGAGAGAUGUGCAUACCUGCUCCAUUGGCGGUGUGGAUCUUGUCGGAGCCAUGGUAGGGUUCACGAGUGUGAAGCUUCCCCAUCUCACUGGUCAGGUGCUCUGUCGCCCCAGAGUCCAUGUACCAGUGGGGAUCAAUGGAGUAGGACUGAGUGUGUCCCUGUGGCUUCUGCGGCGGCGGACGAUCAGCCAUGGCGACCUGACGAGCAAAGUUGCGUGUAUCCUUCCCGUCAUUGCCGAGACCAAGAAAACCCCGCUGGAAGCGCUUGUGACACUUCGAGGCCCAGUGCCCAUCGCGACCACAAAGCUGGCACACACGUGGACCGCCAGCCCCUGGUAGCGUCGCAGUAGGAGGAGGGGCCGAGGCGGGUGGUGGUGACUGCCCCGAAGGAGCCCUGGAUAAAGCAGAGGAGCGACCACCCUUGGUGGCGGCGUUUGCCGAGAGGGCGCCGUUGCCCCUGGAUCGGCGCGUCUCGACUCAUUGCUCAGUAAGCAGGAGGCAUGAAAAGACCUCGUGUGCUGGCAUGGGCGUGGAGUUGCCUCUCUCAUUGAUGAUCUCGACUAGGGCGUCAUACUCCUCAUCAAGACCAUUGACAAUAAACGAGUUGAACUCGGAGUCGGUGAGGGGCUGUCCAAUGGAGGCCAGCGUGUCGGCGAGACUCUUGACUUUGUUGUAGAACUCAGUGGCGGUGGAGUCAAGCUUCUGACACUCCCCAAGUUGGCGACAGAGCCCAGAUACACGAGCCUGCGACUGUGCCGCAAACGAGCGCUCAAGAAUAGUCCAUGCCUCGUGGGACGUCUUGGCGAAGACAACAAGCCCAGCAACGGCCGGAGAGAGCGACCCCUGGAUGGAGGAGAGGUUCGCCUGAUCCUGCCCUGUCCAGACACGGUGAGCCGGAUUAUAGACCGGACCGUGCACGCUGUCAACCAGCGCAGGAGGGCAAGGGAGAGAGCCGUCGACAUAGCCAAGCAGAUAGUGACUCCCAAGAAGCGGAAGAACCUGCGCGCGCCAGAAGAUGUAAUUGUCCGACGACAACUUGAUGGUGAUGAGAUGGCCGAAGUGAAACGGCGGCGGAGGCUGCGAUCCCAUCGAGGAGACUGGCUGAGGUGAGACCACCGUGGAGACAGUCAGAGGGGCAGCCGGCGCGGUGACAGAGGGCGCGAUGGCCGCGGUUGACGCCGCGAAGCCUGCCAACGCGACGUCCUCCGCCACCAGCGGCGCAGUGGCCGAGGGCGCGACAGCCGCGGUUGACGGGGCGGCGGCGGUGUGGGCCACAAGCGCCUGCCCGGGCGAAGUAGCAGCCGGCGGGAGCGCGAAGAGGGAGCCGACGCUCCGUGUCCCGAUCGGCGCCUGAAAGGAGGCGGCAUCCAGCGGCCUCGAGAGAAGUGCUGCGAGGGAGGCCGGCAGAAAACCGGUGGCGGUGGAGCCGGACGCAGCGGCGGACGUCAUAGCAGUCGGGCGACGGCGGCGGCGGCGGCGGUUUAGGGUUUUUAGGCGGAAGCGGACGUAACCUAGCGUGAUACCAUGUAAGACAAUAGGCUUUGGGGGGAACCGGCACAACCCUCUAGGGGUGGCCUAUCACAUAUAUAUAUAAUGAGGUGGUAUACAACGUUACAAUAUACACAUGUAAAUACAGUCUAACACCGAGAAGGAAAGACGAGUAGGCAACGCAUCAGGAACGCAUGAAGUUGUGCGGCGAGAUUGACGUCGUGCCGACCAUCCAAGGUGAGAACCAAGUUUGAUCUCCCUUCCCUCUUCUCUCUCUACAUCCGAUGAUGGCGGCAAGAGCUGCGACUGCACGGCCGGAGAUGAAGCCGGUUGCUGCCGUCGGCUCUUGAUGCUUUGAAGACGACGACACCGGGGUUGCCUCUCCUGCGCAGCCCCCGGCGAUCUCUACAUGUCGGACCCAUCAUCGGCAACGACGCGUCCGUCGGCCUUGGAGAUGACGACGCCCAGGUUGCCUCUUGUGUGCAACCCCCGGUGAUUCCUUCAUGCCGGACUCACCACCGGCAACGACGACGCCGGGGUUGUCUCUCGUGUGCAACCCCCGGUGAUUGCUUCAUGCCGGACUCACCACCGGCGACGACGAUGCCGGGGUUGCCUCUCAUGUGCAGCCUAUGUCGACCCUUCACGCCGGACCCAUCACCGGCAACUCCCGUGAGGAGGAGGAUGACGCUCCGGGCCCUAGUAGCCCCCCCGGUGCAUUCUCCAUCGGCGACUCCCGCGAGGCUGACAACGAUAACAUCGGGGCCGUCUAGAACCCGGUGCACUCUCCAUCGGCGACUCCCGCGAGGACGGCGGUGACACGCCAGGGCUGUGUCGCCACCGAUGCACUCUCCACCGGCGACUCCGGCAAGGACGACGAUGACGCGUCGGGGCCUUGUAGCCCCGGUGCACUCUCCACCAGCGACUCCCGUGAUGAUGAUGACAACAUGUCGGGGCCAUGCAGCCCCUGGUGCACUCUCCCCCGGUGCACCCUCUGCGGCAGACUGACGACAUGCCACGGCUGUGCAACCCGGGAGCACUCUUCGUCGGCCACACUCACAUGUCGGCCUGCCUUGAAGACGACAACGUCGGGGUUGCCCUUCGUGCGCAGACCCCGGCGAUUCCUUCAUGCCGGACUCACUAUCGGCGACGACGUGGUUGGACUACCGCUCGUGCGCAGCCCCGGCGCGCCCUUCACUAUUAACGACAAUGUGUCGGCGGGGUGCCAUCUACACCUCCGCCGACAUCGAGCGCCUCAAAGAGGGGCGUCGUCCAUGCCUUCGCCGAUGCAGAGCUUGGCCAGGGUGACGAUCCAUGUACAUCGCCACCACCAUAGAGCCCGUGCAAGACGGGUGUCAUCUACAUUGUUGUGGACACGACCCAUCGUUUGGCUUCGUUCCCACCGACUCUCGGCUCGACAAGGCUGCUGGCUACACCGACACGCUUAUUGAGUGGGCGAUACUGCCCAAGUCUACUCCAACACCCACACCGAUGCACAUCAUCAACAUUGUCCUAACGCCGGCGAGACGAAGCUAUACUCCACCGACACGUCUUUAUCCGAUGAAGCAAACCACUACUUGAUAUGCCAACGAGGCAAUGUCAAGUCAUCCAGUCCGACACCGACAAGGCGGACAUCACUAGGCCGGGCACCGACGAGGCGAAGGCCGCCCACAUCUUCAUCAUCGGACAUCGACACGGCGGAGGGGAAUGGCUAAGCAUAGCCGGGGCGAUGGGCAUAUCGCUCUCCCCUUCCACUUCAUCACCAUCUACACCAACCUCACGGAGAAGACUAGACCAGAAGACGACGACCAUUGCAACAGCUUAAUUGGAGGUGGUUCGUGAGCUUGACUCGCGGACAUAAUUAAGCAGGAGCUUUCCGAGGCCCUGUGAACCAGAACCUCACAUCGCCGAAGUCAUUUUGGCCGCGCCAGCAGGCCAUGGAGCGCACUCUUAAUAGGGACUUUGUAAUUUUGUUUCUCGACACGAGAUUAAUAAAAAUACAUAUUUCCCUAUGUCUUUUCUUUGUGUACUUAGUACACUGGCACGCCCGCACUAUUUUUUAUUUUUUUCGUGUCAAACACCGUGAUGUCGAAGGCAUUGUCACAGAUCAGUUUCGCUGUCUCAUCUGGACGCUUCACCAACCUGAGCAUUUGCAGAUGCAAUGUAGCUUGUCUUAGUCUCCUCUCCAUCGUCAGAUCGAAAGAAGUCGUCCCUCAGGCCCAUUUCUAAGCAAAAUCGUGUACAACAAGGAUACUAAGCUUGAACUAAAUUGUACGUGCACGCAUACAAACUAUUUCCGGAUGCCUACCAUGCGUACCAAUGAUUGUUCGUUUGUGACCUGCAUAUAGAAAGCUCCUUCAUAUCAUGUGUCAAGCUAUUUGCGAUGGAUCUAGCGUUGUGGAAUGAAUUACUACUUAUCGAAGGAGAGCCGAAUGCCAUUGCCAGACUGUGACUUAAAUAGCUUUGGUAUGGCACUCAUCGGUACAUUGCGGUACUUACAAGAUACUGGUGCAUGUGGAGAAGGAUAUUUUGAAUACAACAUUUCUUUGGCGGGAUGCUUUUCAAUACAACAAACUGCUACUGCUAAAAUUAUUUAACUAAGAAGUGUGUAUCGUGUAUCUGUACGCAUAUAGACCGACCUUCCACUUGAUCGCAACAAAAGUCAUAACUCGCUGAGUUUCCGGUCAUUGAUCUUAGUACUCCCUCCAUCUUAAAGGUGUCGCCACCGCCUCGUCUUUCUGAGUAUGACAUAAACCCUAAACGAACUCAAGAAAACACCAAGAAACGGAGUGAGAUCCCUUCCUCCAGCAAGCUAGGCCCGGGGUCACCCGUGCCUCCAUGGCCCUAGGACCACCGGAGAUGAGGCGGACCACAGGCGGUGUCGGCGGGUGGCGCAGGAACCGUAGGUUCUUGCUUCAAGAAGAGGCGGCGGCGACUGCAUUGCACGCACGUCCUACAAGAAAGCGUUAGGUAGGUGUGAUUGAUCUGGGGUGGGCUACUUAUAGAUAGCUAGAUCUGAAUAUGAGAGAAAAAAAAUGGAUUUUGACCAUGGUGCACAAAGAAUUGAGUGGAAGACAAACGUAAUCAUUGUUGCUAUUUAUGCGUUGGUGAUUUUCAUAAGCCGAAAAUUCAAAACUAACUUUCUUCGUUCACUUGGCUGAAAUAGUUUUGCUACUGGCCUUCCUAUGAGCUAAAGAGUAUCAGCCACCAUGUGCUUGUUUGUAUUUGAUCAAAAGGAGCACCAACGACCUAUCACCGUGCCGGACAGUAGGGGCGCCACCGUCCUCGAUGAGCUCCCCAAGUUCAUAAUCGUUCAAUUCAUCUUUUUUAGGGGAACAUAAUCGUCAAAUUCAUGUCUUGCACCUAACGUAGUAGCCUUUUGGGCACACCACUUCGUAAGCUCACAGUUUUGGGCCACCAUGUGUGACAGUUGUUUCAAAGACGUUUUUGGGUAAACCGUGUGCUUUGAAUGGUCUUAUUUGACCCGAUAUGCACUAGUAGUAGAAAGCAGGGCAUGCCAAAGCCUUAUAGAUUUAUACUUGCUAAACCUACUUUAACUAGUAAUCUAACACCACACUAACAAAGACACUCAUGGCAUGCAAGCCUACCAUGGCACAUCCAAACUUUCCUAGUUACCGUUUAGAUUCAAACACACCUGCUUGCUCUAACUCGUACAAGCCGGACAUGAAGUCCCAGUAACACAACAUGGACAUUUUCACGAGAACUUUAAGUUCGUGAGGAACGCGGCCAGAGUCUUGCACCGGAAGAAGAAAUCCUCGGUUUUGAUGAAGAUUGAUAUAUCCAAAGCGUUCGACUGUCUAUCAUGGGAAUUUCUCUUGGAGAUCCUCAGAGAGUCAGAGGCUUUGGUAACAGGUGGUGUUCCUGGAUAUGCGGUCUUCUGUGCUCGGCGUCCUCCUCAGUUCUCAUCAACGACGAAACCAGUGCUCCGUUCGGCCUGGUGAAGGGAGUCAGGCAGGGAGACUCCUUGUCGCCGGCACUCUUCAUUCUGGCCAUGGACGCGCUGCAAGGCAUGAUUGACUGGGCCGGGUGCAAUAAUCUGCUGGCUAGCCUUGGUUUGGGCAUCAGAAUCCCGCGGGCCUCUAUCUUCGCCGAUGACGCAGUAUUGUUUUUCACGCCAGCGCCGUCCGACCUACAGGUGAUCUCAGCCAUGCUGCAGCUUUUUGGGGAGGCCUCGGGUCUGAAGAUUAAUUUUGCCAAAAGCUCCAUCACUUGCAUCAGUUGCGAGGAGGACUGAGCUAGGGUGAUUGCGGACUUCUUUGGGUGUCAGCAGGUUGGCUUUCCCAUAAGAUACCUGGGACUACCAUUGCCAAUCUACAGAUUAAAGAGACAAGACAUAAUCCCACUGAUCGACAGAUUCUCUAGCAAGAUGAAAGGAUGGAAGCCCAAACUUCUGACCCCUGUUGGAAGGCUAGCCUUGAUGAGUUUGGUGCUUAUGGCCUUACCGAUUCACUUUCUGACUGUCUUCGCGCCUCUGGUAUGGGCGCUCAAAAUCAUAGACAGGAGAUGCAGAGGCUUUGUGUGGAAAGCAGAGGUGGAUAUCAAUGGGGGGGGGCACUGCUUAGUCCCAUGGGCUCACGUGCGUAGACCUAAGGGAUGGGGGGGACUCGGCCUUCUCAACUUGAGGAAUUUUGGGACGGCCCUUAGAUGUAGCUGGAAGUGGCUCGGAUGGAAUCCAGGGAAUAGACCAUGGCAUCUUCUUCCUGAUCAACAGGACAAGGACUAUGAGGUCAUGUUUGAUGCUGCAAAUCGGGUGGUGCUGGGGAACGGCACAGUUGCAAGAUUCUGGACGGAUAAUUGGGCUACGGGUGGCAGGAGUAUAUCGGCCUUAGCCCCUGCACUAUUUUCCUAUGUUAGACUCCAAACUCUCAGUUAAAGAAGUGUUGCACAAUCACAGGUGGAUUAGGGACAUCAGAGGUGGUCUGUCUACUCAGGCACUGGCACAAUACUUAGUGGUUUGGGAUAUCGCCCAGGCCACCACUCUUUCAGAUGAAACAGAGGAUCAACUCAUGUGGAGGCUGACGGAGCAUCACCAGUUCACGGUGAGCAGCGCGUACAGGAUGUUCUUCAUGACCGGAACCCCUUUUGCCUGCAAUAAGCCUAUUUGGAAGUCAAAAGCUCCCCCUCGUUGCAAAUUCUUCAUGUGGUUGGUUAUUCUGGGCACUGUUUAGUCCCAUGGGCUCGCGUGCGUAGACCUAAGGGAUGGGGGGGACUCGGCCUUCUCAACUUGAGGAAUUUUGGGACGGCCCUUAGAUGUAGCUGGAAGUGGCUCGGAUGGAAUCCAGGGAAUAGACCAUGGCAUCUUCUUCCUGAUCAACAGGACAAGGACUCUGAGGCCAUGUUUGAUGCUGCAAAUCGGGUGGUGCUGGGGAACGGCACAGUUGCAAGAUUCUGGACGGAUAAUUGGGCUACGGGUGGCAGGAGUAUAUCGGCCUUAGCCCCUGCACUAUUUUCCUAUGUUAGACUCCAAACUCUCAGUUAAAGAAGUGUUGCACAAUCACAGGUGGAUUAGUGACAUCAGAGGUGGUCUGUCGACUCAGGCACUGGCACAAUACUUAGUGGUUUGGGAUAUCGCCCAGGCCACCACUCUUUCAGAUGAAACAGAGGAUCAACUCGUGUGGAGGCUGACGGAGCAUCACCAGUUCACGGUGAGCAGCGCGUACAGGAUGUUCUUCAUGACCGGAACCCCUUUUGCCUGCAAUAAGCCUAUUUGGAAGUCAAAAGCUCCCCCUCGUUGCAAAUUCUUCAUGUGGUUGGUUAUUCUAAGGAAGUGCCUGACGGCAGAUAAUCUUCAGCGAUGAGGGUGGCCAUCCAACGAAAUCUGCCCGCUUUGCUUGAUACAUCCCGGGGACUGCACGCAUCUGUUUCUCUCCUGCAGCUUCACGCAGCGGCUCUGGACGGCGUUCCAGGGGUGGACGGGUGUUUCCUUCCCUACGCCGGCUAGCAGUUUUGAGUGCUCCGAGUCAUGGUGGCUAGAGGCGAGAAAAGCAAUCCCGAAGCAGAUGCGCCGAGACUUCGACACCAUUGUCAUUCUCAUCCAUUGGAGGAUCUGGAAGGAGCGGAGCGCUCGAAUUUUCCAGCAGACGGCUUGUAAUAUUGACAGGGUCCUAGACCUCAUUAGAGAGGACUUAGGUGUGUGGAGAUCUGCGGGGUGUGUAGCAGACCUGGGUAGCUGAUUUCCUGCGUGGUUAUCUUCUACGGCCCCGCUUUGCUUGGGGCUAACUCUUGUACUAACAGUUCAUGACUCCUGAACUGUGAGGCUCCUUUGUACCACUUUCUUUCUUCUAAUAAAGAUCGGCCUCGGCCCUUCGACAUUCUUAUAAAUGAAACCUAAUGGAAUUCAGAUUUGGUAGCUUUCCAAGCUGUAUGUGCACACAGCCACACGAGGCCACUCACGUAAAUAAACACAAACUAGAAAAUCAGGGCCACGUGACAAGUUUGAUUAUUUCCAACAAUGUCUUUAACUAGAAAAUCUUGAAGCCUUCCAACUAAGAACUAUUCUCUAGCAGCUAAUCGAAAGAAAUAAAACUCGCAAACCACAAGACACUGACUCGUGGCAGAGACGCUUAUGUGACCUGCUCAGUCGGACUGCACCACUGCGGCGCCACCUGCUAAAGUAAAAAAUGAACUAUAACCGGUAACUAUUGAACGGGCAGUGGAAUAUACGCUUCUCCCUUCGCCAGUGCAGACACAUGCACUUAAUUAUAAGACAUUUGGAACAGUUCAACUGGAGGGCUCGGCACACGGACAGAAGGCACAAGCAAUUGAAUUUACUCUAGCGGGAGUUGACCACGUGACGUGCGGGGCCCUCAUGCAAAACAAAGUAGACGAUGAAAAAGCUAAGGCAGCGAGUGCACACUGGAAACAACGCUACAGCUGGGGUAUAGCAAUGUGAGCCUGUAAUGUUGUUAUCUCAAGUUCCCUGAUACCUACCGUGCCUAUCAUAUCUAUGUUUGUUUUUUGUUUGAUGACUGUGUAUAGUUUCCUCGUAUGUAGAGACGCUUGUCAAGAAGCUAGCAUCCAGAACCAAACUACUCAUGGAAGCAUAGCCCAGCUUCUAUACCAGUUACUUAUAUAGCGUUGGCACCUAUUCGUUGGUACUGUACGGACCCUCCAUAAAAGACAUUUCUGGCCAUGUAUGCACAUGGGCCAGUAAAUCGAAAUUUCCAAUAUAGAUAGCGCCCAUCAGUGUGCGCGCAAGCAUAAGAGAGAGGGGAAGCUCUUAUUAUUAUGAUGGUUGAUGUGAGUUUUGAAGAGAUGGUGCUUGUAAGAUACAACUACAAAUCAUUAUGGUCUUUCAGUAAGUAGUGCUAGAUAGACACACCACGUUACCACACGUAGAGACACGAGAGCACUGCACUUAAUUACUACAAAAUAUCAAAAGCACCACCGCAAACUUAGUAGUACGAGUACACGAUGUGUCAGAAUUAAUUUGCAUGUGUACAACUUAUCAAGUCUCCGGAUUGAACACUCACAACUAGGCUACAAACAUGCCCAUCCGUCAAUGAGAUAUAAUCUCUCGCUAAAUAUUUUUAGGAUCCAUAUGAGCAUCCCUAUGAUUUUCUUGUGUGCCGUUAAUAUUUUUUAUCAUAACUCAAGGUAAAUUCUACAAUCCAAAUGAUGUGUCCUCACGAUGUGCGCACAUGCCCAAAGAAGUUUGAUUGCAAUUGAAUAAAAAGAGUUAGAAACCUUAGAUAUAGAUGGUUCAUGAGCUAGGGUUGACGAUCAAGUUUGAGAAUGCCCUAUUUUCAGUUGAUAUGUGUGGUGAAAAAGUUUUCGGUCUUCUUGUUUGAAAAGGAUCCACAUAACUUUUUGUAAGUGACUACCAACACUUGGAAUCAUUAUUAGCCUAAGAUCUUGCAAUUGGCAUUACUUAAUUAAUUUCGUAACAUGGUAGCACGAGUUGGUCCAUUGUCCACACAUCAUAUGUUUUGUCACUGGAAUGGGCCUUAGAGCAUCUUAAAUAGAUGUGAGAUAGUUCUUGUUACAAUAAUGUGAAAGAGCAUAAACGAGAAAGAAAACAUUAUCUGUAAAAUAACCAACACCCCAUGCACAAGCUCCAUGGUGGAAAUGUGGAACAAACAUCGAAGACAAUUUGUAGCACGGCAGUUGGGCUCAUGCGAGAUUCUGGGCCAUAGGAUUGCGUCGAGUUCCAGACAUGUAUGUGUGUGUGUGCGCGUGUGUGUUUAGGGCUUAAUCCCCUGCAAUUUCUUGCAUGUGGAAGCUUUUGCACAUUCCAGCCAUCUCACCACCCGUGGCUUUUAUUUUGCCUUUCAAAUUUGAAUCUAUUGUAACAAUUGAACCAAAAGUUCUUUUUUAUUUUGUUUGCAUAUUCAUGUUCCUUGCGACGAGGGUUUUGAAACAAGGCGACUCUUGAAUGCGUUUAAGAAGUUUAAAAAAAUUACCAAGUUUCAACUACUAAAACUUUGUAGGAAUGAAUGGUAAAUUUACUAACUUCACAAAAUUUAACUUAAACUCUAAACCCUAUGAGAAAAUGAAACUUGGUACAAUUCAGUAAAUAGUUAGUAUUACAACUCUCAAGUUUUAAUAUUUUAAACUGAUUAAAAAUUUAAAAGUGUCAAAAUGUAUUCAAGAGUGGUCUUGUUCCAAAGUUUCUCAUCCCAACGAACACAAAUAUCCAUUGUGCGGGAAGCCUGUCCAUGAUGCACGCUCAAUGUGCGGAAAAAGCCAUGCUCUGGGCUUCAAGGUCAUGGUCGGUGUGAUAGGUCGUAUUCGCGUAUGCCCAUCUACACAAGUCAAAUGACGUGUGCCACCGCUGCUUGAACGACAUGCACUACCGUCAUUUUGUUCAUGCUCUAGAAGAUGUAGCUAUAAUGACACCUCAUGAACUAGAUCUAGGGCUUCUAGAGUUUAGCACAAAAGAGAAGGACGCCCACACACACGAAGGGAUGCCAUUCAUUGCUAACUUUGAAGAGGAAGGGGGUAACACCGCUAGCUCUGAUGAGAAUGAAGAACAUCAGAGUGGUAAGAGGCAUGUGGAUCUCCCAUGCGAGGAAAGAGGUGGGGUUAUCGGCACUUGCUCAAUCAUAUCAAUGACAUGGAACGCUAGAAUUAAAUAGAUAGAGGGAAGGCGUGAAGGACAUUCAAUCUAAAGAAUGGGGAGGCGACCAUCGCAAAAUGAUUCAAUAGACGAGUAGGGACAGAAAAAUACCAGAUAUGUACGAAGAAAACAGUUCAACAAAUUGUUGUUUAAUUGUCAAUGGCGUCUAGUUAUCAUCAAUGGGUGUAGAAAACCUUUGAAUGAUCUAUGUCAAAAACUCGUGUCUGUGAUGAGCCAUGUGAAUGACGGGCUUUUGGUCUUCCAAGACUGAUGUUAGUGUUACAACAAUGUAACAUAGAGUACUAUUCCCUUCAUUGCAUAAUUUAGUGCAGUUGGAUUUUUUGGAAAAUCGAAACUCAUAGAGUUUGACAAAACUAAAUAAAUACAAUAUAAACGUAUCUAAUGAUAUUUAUUGCUAUCAUAGGUGUAGAUAUUUUUUCAACAAUUAAAUUUGAUCAAAAUUGACAAAGCCUGGCUAUUAAUUGCAUAUAUAUAUGCACUAUAUUAUGGAAAUGAUGGAGUAGUUAUUAGUAGUUGUACAUGGGGAAAAUAUGGGGGAAAUAUGCACUAUAUUUUAAAACGGUGAAAGUAUUGUUAAGCCAUAGUAGGGAUUUUUUUUUGUGCUUGUUGAAAUGGUUGAAAAUGUGAUAUAUUCAGAUUCUUGUGACCGAUCCAAGUUAGCCCAAGAAGAACUAGAUUUUAUUGCUAAGUCGCAACACACACUAGAUUAAGACCGAAAAUCUUGCCUCGGAACCACAUCAUACCGUUGCAUAUCAUUCCGUCACAAAAACAAUUCUUCAGGGGUGGUCAAAUAUGGAGAUUUCGUAGAAUAGCUAGAGAGGAGCCGAGUCAUCAUGUUACGUCUAUCACAGGUACCUACGGUGGCUAUUUCUCCAAUUAUCCUGUCUUCUUUCUCCUUCUUCAUGUCAUACAUGUAGAUGUGAUUGUCCGGGUACGUAUCAGGUUUGACGUAGUAGAUGCAAUUGCCAUUGAUGGACGGGAACUUACUGGCAUUAACAGACACACACUUAUAAACACCGACAAAGAUGGCACUGUCUUCGCCGAUGCUCUUCACCGGCUCGAUUGCAUUCGUAGCGACGUCGACCUUAAAAACUCCCUUGCCGCCAUUUUCACGGUUAAUGACCAUCAACACUUCUCCGCCGGACUGUACCAGAAAGCCAUCAGAGAACAUCUUGGCAUGAUUGGAAGAGAACUUCUUGAGUGGAUCAUCUAAGAACGGGUGCCCCAUGAGUUCGUAGACGCCACCGACCAUUGCUUGCCGAAUCAGGCGACGAAAGACGCCGUCCCUGUUGUGUACGGACAUAAACGCGCCGCAGGGGCUCGCUCUGUACAGGUCACCACGUACGUCGCAGAUGACGAGGAGGGGCGGAGAACCGAAGACGGCGGCGGAAUCUUUCAUUAUUUGAAAAGACUUGGACGAUGCUAUGAAACGGACGAGGUGGCCGGUGAAAGGAUUGAGGACAUACACAGCGCCAGGGCCAUUCCUUUCCACCAGAACAAGAAAGCCGCCGUGUGUCGCGGCGACGUGAUGGUAUUUGCGGAGGAGCGGCAUGUCCUUGCGAAGGAAGCGGCCGGUGGAGGUGUUCACGAAGUGAAGGGCGGUGCUGCGGUGGUUCGUGCAGAAGACGAUCCACCGGCAGGGCCGAAAGCGCAGGUCCCAGGUGUUGGUGGGGUCGUCCGUGGCCUGGCGCCAGUCGCGGCAUACGGCGCGAAAGUCCAUGUAACAGUCCACGUCGUUUGUGGCCACCAAGCAGUCGGCGAUGCGGCCGACGAGCUCCGGCGGGAGAGAGGCCCAGCACGGGGCUCGGCGGAUGUCAUGCAUGGUCGUAAAGCAGGUUUGACAGAUCUGAUCUGGUUGUCUGGCUAAUUUUGCUCUAGUUUUGAAGGACGGGGUUGGAUCCGUAAUAGCACAGAGAAAAGACAGACAGAGUCCGGUUUUGUGUCUAUCUGUAACUCCGGCGUAGCGUAGCAAAGGGGAGUCGGACGUGGCAUGGAGUACUGACACGGCCGUCCUUCGUAAUUUACUAGCUAUGCCCGUGCGGCGGCACGCCGCACCUCAUCGAUACUUUGCGUUGAGAUUUCAUAAGUGGUAAAGUGGAGACCCAUGUGUUGUUAAUUUUUUGAUUGUUUGAUUGAAUGCUAGAUUGGCCAUCAUUUCUUUGCUCGGGCGUUCAAGAAUCGUUGGUGUAUAACUGGAAUGAUCGAUUCUAUGAGACCAUACCUUUGGUUUUUUUCCUUUAAGUCUGAUGUGUUAGUAUUUCUUUUCUUUAUUAUUUUUAUUACACACGGGUGGUUGCAUAUGUAAAUGAUGGAAAACUUGGAUGGAUAUAUUAUAGUGGAGUUAAGCUAGGAUAGACGAUAAGGCAUCCUGAAAAGCAAGAUUUUAUUACAUAAAAACAAUAGAUAGAUUCCAAGGAAGUAACUAAAUUUCAAUACCAAGCGCCAAAAUUGUUGAUUCGGUGAUCUUUGAUGAUUCAGAUUAAUUUGUACUGCCACUUGCCAGAUUAGUGCCAGCGGAGAAGUUGUAAAGAGCUUGUGCAAACUCUUGGAGGAGGUCAUGUGAUGGCUCUUAAAAGUAAAACAACAUUGGUCAGAAUUAAGUUUAGAGCCAUAUCAUUCUUAAAUUAAACAUCAAAUUUAAUCAACACAUCAUAAAACCUAAAUAAAACAUCUCAUCGGUUCAAUUUAAUGUAAAACAAUAUGAUAUUUUAGUUCAUCAUAUUUUAAGCAAUUUAUGUAUAAAACAGUGCAAAACAGAAAAUAUGAACUUAAAAUGCACUGUCAAUAGGGGGAAAAUGACAGAAAUAUUUUGGCCCAAAAUACCCAUGGCAGCCCAUUAGAGAGCCCAAUCCAGUUGUUGAAAACCAGAAAUAAAUAAAUCAUUUCUACUGGGCAGAGACAACUUAGCCGGAGCCCUAAAAGAUUUUGGGUAUUCCUACCGUGUGUGUACUUCUGAUCCACUUUCUUCUAAUUUGCUAAUCCAAAACGGAAUCAGUACUAAAAUGUGAGCAACUUUAAUGAAACAGACAUAAAGUGAGUAUUAAUUCUUAACUUGGAUUAAUUAAAAUUGAUGAACAUAAUUCGCAAAGCUCUAGCAACUUAGGGCAUGUUCGGAUGUCCCCUAGCUUCGCUAGAUCCUCGAAUCUCGCUUCUGUUUCCCGAUGCCAGCUUCUUCGCGGAUUGCAAUCGAUGGAAAACCGUUCGCUUCGCUCACUUCCGCUUCUAGUUCACGCCAGCAGGCCAGCCUGCCUGGGCGGGCUGGAGCCCAGUCGGCUCAAGAGGUAGACAGGAGGGGAGAGAGAGUGGGCUUGGCCCAGAUCGGAGGGAAAAGGCAACGAACCGUUACGUGAAUCACUUGGCGGUGGCAUUACUUCAUAAAUUAGGCCAACUCCAGAUCUCACUUUUCCUGGGACGACCAGAAGUGGUGUUCCAGUUUGAGUAAAAUUCAUCGGUGGUCCCUCAACUUGCGUCGCCCGGUCACUUUGGUCACUGUACAAAAGAACUCACGCAAUACGGUCACUGUGUACGGCAAACAGUGAAAAUACGGUCACUGUGCGUUGUAGACGCAACGUACGCCGCCUGUUGACCACCUGUUGACCGUCCGGCUCCCAGUCCGCGCGCCAGGUGUCGCGAGGAGGAGCGACCCGAUGGCAUAUUUGUAGCCCACCCCCCAAGUUAUCAGACAGAUCCCCCAGUCCUCCCCCGUCUCCACCUCCCCUGUUCGAGACGAUCAAACCGGCGGAGAAGGCGACGGAGGUGCGGCAUGGUGCGGCGUGCUCGUCGCCGUGGUGCGGCGUGGUCGUCGCCGUGGUCGGCGUGGAGGGGUUUCUUCUCGCGGUGGUGAAGAGGAGGCGCCGUCGCCAUGUCUCCUGUUCGUCGCCCCGACGGUGCCCCUGCCCCUGUUUACAGUAAGUGAUGAUUCCUGCCGUAAAUCCUCUUAUUUCUCUUCGAUUCUUGUUUGAUAGGGCUGGCAUUGUGUUCGCCUAUGAUAUGUGCUAGUAUUCGUCGCGUGGAUGGCAAUUUAGGUUUAGGGUUUUUGAACCCAAUUUGUCUGAUAGGAUUUCUGAUAGGGUUUUUUUCUUGUCGAAAGGGUCUAAUUUUCAUCGAUUCCACAUGUAAUAGGCUUAGGUUUCUGGCAGUUGUGCCCGUAUGUGCACCUUUGUUCGAAUAGGCAUAUGUUUUGGAGCUUUGGUGUAUGGAGAACAUUGGGGAUUUCUAGUGUUGUACUGUUCAAAAAGGUCAUUACUUGUUCAAUUUUGAUGUGAUCAAUUAUGCUUUGUUUUUGCAGGAGCAAGAAGUGAGAAGUUCUCAGUGCUGUUUCAUCAUGGUGGUUUUUUCAUGGGUGAAGGAAGCAACAGGGCUUAUGUUGAUGGGAAUACAGUUUGGUAUGACAGUUUGGAUAAGCUCACCUGGUCUCCAAUAAUGGUGGAACAUAUAGUAGAAGAGAUUGGAUGGGAGAUGGCAGGCAGGUUGAAGGCAUAUUAUCAAAUCCCAAUACUUGACAUUACUCAGAAUUCUUUGAGACAGAUCAGAUCUGAGGCAGAUACUGAUCAAAUGAUGACCUUUCUGUCUAUUGGGCAUCAUUUCUUCAGUAUUUAUCUUGAUCAUGAUGACACCUUGAUUACUAAGAAGGUUGUUGAUGAUGUGCUCCAAUUUCCAAGGGCUGAACUUCCACCAGUGUGUAGCCUUUCAAAAGAUGGUACUAAUCCUCAUGGUAGCAAGCCUGCAAAUUCUGAAGAAGACUGCCCUAUACCAAUUCAGGUUGUGUAUCCAAACAAUGAGCAUCUACUAGGUACGCAACAUAUUCCAUCUCCCAAAACCAGAAAUCACACCCAGUAGCCUGCAAACCAACAGCAAAAAAUCAAACUUUGACCAAAAAAAGGGCAAAACUGCUGCCAAGAACAAAAUCAACUGAUCCUCUGUGUUACUUACAGAGUGAUUGGGACAUCUAUAGAACACCCAGCCCUCGUGAUCCUCUGUGUUCGAAACGUAGUACCUCACUGUCGCCUGGCAGCGAGGACAUGGGAUGAGUGGCACCACCACUGUCCGGCCGCGGAGACCAGACAGGGCAGAACUAGCAGAAGACAUGGCGCAGUGGUCGUCGGGGGCGAGGGCAGGAUGGGCGCGCGGCGGCGAGAGGGCAGGAUGGGCGCGCGGCGGCGAGAGGGCAGGAUGGGCACGGCGGCGGCGAGAACUAGGGAUUUGGAGGGAAGAAUUGGGGAUUUCUAUCUAAACGGCUUUUUUUACAAAAACGACCUCCCGCAAAUGGGCACUUAAACGUAAAUCCUCUGCCCGCCUACUUGGAGCCCGUGGACUGGUCAAAAUUGCGGCGUACGUUGCGUCUACAGCGCACAGUGACCGUAUUUUCACUGUUCGCCGUACACAGUGACCGUAUUGCGUGAGUUCUUUUGUACAGUGACUAAAGUGACCGGGCGACGCAAGUUGAGGAACCACCGAUGAAUUUUACUCUUCCAGUUUUUUGCACGUCGGGCAUCCUCAGAUCUGGGAAGCUAGCUUCCUGGAGUUUGACUGUUCGGUGCAACUCCUCCACAGAUUUAGAGGAUUUGGAAGCUAGGCUGCUGCCGAACAGUCCCUUAGUAAGAUCAACAUUAACUAUGCACAAUUACCAUGAAACAGUAGCAUGCAUAUUGGGCUAACCAGAGGCUUACAUAUCCAACUCUAAAUAUGAUUCGCUAAAUAUGUGAUUGACCUGCCAAUCAAGAAUUAGUGUUGUAGUGCAAGCAAAUAGGUGUAUGAUACCAUUGUUAGUACUCCAAAUUAUUGAAAGAUCAUGUGAAGAUUUGCACACUCAAGGACAAGUGUCUUUAUUUGGUUCCAUUGUCCAUGUUGUUGAACUACCAGUACUAACUCUGAGACUUAUAUGGCCCUCUGUUUGGAACGCAAUAUUUUUUUCUGGGGAAUGUCAGUGAGUCCGGACGGGUUGCUUGGAUUCGGCAAGAGAGCCUUUUUAUACGCCUAUACGGCCGUGGGCGAGUCGUGCACGAUACAUGGUAGGGGUUUUCAGACAGAGAGAGACGAAGACCAAUCCGAAUAACAAUUGAUAGGCACACCCAAAGGAACGUACCCUGCUAUAUCCCCCACUAAUGCACGCGAACAAAUAGAAGAGGCAACACUACAAUCUGAAUUGUUGCCUCUGUAUUAGUGAGGCUCUGUAAUGAAAAUUGGGGAUUUAGGGCAUCUCCACUAGGCUCCCCAACAGGCCCCCCAAGAGCACUUUUUUAGCGCCGGCUGUAAAAAAUCUUCCCAGUCAGGCACCCAAGAGCUCAUUUUUAGCCGGAUUUGGCGAAUGUUACGGCCGGCGCGCCCACCCCACACCCAGCUCCCGGGGGAGCAGCUGGGGACGCCGGUGUUUGCCUUUUGCAUGCGCAGGCCCACCUGCCAGCGUCUCUCCCGUCCCUUUCCCUUCCUGGCCCACCCACGUGCUCCCCUCCACACACCCAUCCCCUUUCUCUCGGUUGCAACUCCUCUCUUCUCCUUCUCCUUCUCUCGCCUCGCCGCGCACAGGGACGGCAGGAUGAAGGAGCUCCGGGCCAGCUCUGCGCCUCCGCAUCUCAGCAUCCCCUGGCUCCGCUCGCCGGCAGCCAUUCCCGCAGCUCAGNNNNNNNNNNNNNNNNNNNNNNNNNNNNNNNNNNNNNNNNNNNNNNNNNNNNNNNNNNNNNNNNNNNNNNNNNNNNNNNNNNNNNNNNNNNNNNNNNNNNNNNNNNNNNNNNNNNNNNNNNNNNNNNNNNNNNNNNNNNNNNNNNNNNNNNNNNNNNNNNNNNNNNNNNNNNNNNNNNNNNNNNNNNNNNNNNNNNNNNNNNNNNNNNNNNNNNNNNNNNNNNNNNNNNNNNNNNNNNNNNNNNNNNNNNNNNNNNNNNNNNNNNNNNNNNNNNNNNNNNNNNNNNNNNNNNNNNNNNNNNNNNNNNNNNNNNNNNNNNNNNNNNNNNNNNNNNNNNNNNNNNNNNNNNNNNNNNNNNNNNNNNNNNNNNNNNNNNNNNNNNNNNNNNNNNNNNNNNNNNNNNNNNNNNNNNNNNNNNNNNNNNNNNNNNNNNNNNNNNNNNNNNNNNNNNNNNNNNNNNNNNNNNNNNNNNNNNNNNNNNNNNNNNNNNNNNNNNNNNNNNNNNNNNNNNNNNNNNNNNNNNNNNNNNNNNNNNNNNNNNNNNNNNNNNNNNNNNNNNNNNNNNNNNNNNNNNNNNNNNNNNNNNNNNNNNNNNNNNNNNNNNNNNNNNNNNNNNNCGAGCAGGCGCGGACGGGCGAGCGCGGCCGCGGGAGCGCGCGGCCUGGGAACGCGGGAGUGCGCGGCCGGCAGACUCGACGAGGCGGCGCGGGCAGACAAGGAUGGCGGCGAACUCCAGGAGGCUGCACUCGCCGGGCAGCGACGGGGACUGCGCAGCCUCCACGUCGAAGAACACCAUCUCCCUCUUCUUGGUGGUCGCCAUUGAUUCCGGCAAGCAACUCGGUGGUGGUUUCUUGACGAUGGAGCUCUGUUUGUUUCUUGCUUGAAGGAAUGAAGGAAUGGAGUCUGUCGAUGGAGCUAUGAGGGCGCAACGAGUGGAAAAAAUUCCACCCCCAGGCCGAAGUUUUCGCCGGCAGCCCCCCAGGAGGCGAAAAAAAUGCCUCCUAGGGAGGCCAACGGCUGGAGAUGCCCUUACUCAUCAGGUCACCUGCAUUUACCUUUUAGUGGUUAAACCACCAAACCCAAAGCAAUAUCUGCAAUUUAUUUAAUAAAUGUAUUAGAUUUUUUUCAGAAUGUGUUAGAGCCAUUUCUUUUGCCGAGCUACAUUCUUGUCGCUUAGGAUACUCAAGGAGCAUGGCUUGCGAAACAUGUCUUCACAAGUUCACGUGCUACCAUUUCAUAAACAGGUGACCACCACACUCCCUUCCGUGCAUAGGACAUACAGGUUCGAGAUGGCAGGCUACUGUAAGCAACCUUCGAGAUGGAAUGUUGGAUUUUACUCUAGCAAGGCAGGUCUUCUCCAAAAGAGAUUAUCAUCUGGCUAUGUAUUGCUUUGAGCUCCCCAUGCUGCUAACACUCCUCAGAUAUUGUGUUUGCUACCGUGAGACAAAGUUCAUCAGAACAUCUGAAUUGACUCCUUACACAGGGCUCUGAAUUGACACAAUUAGAAGGAUAAAACAAUCGCUAGAGCUCUUGUAGGCAGAGUAACCCACCAAUUUUUGACUUAACCUGAGGAUGGUGUCUAUUUUAAGUGUAAAGAAACACAGAGAGAUGAUCAGGUCUUAUAGUUGCAGAAAGUAGCAAAUGGCGGGAAUUUACGUUGGCAUAUACAUAUUGUAUCGUCCAGCGCCAGCGGCAAGCUCUCAAGCUCGAACAGGUCGGAGUUGGGCUCGUUGCUCUCCUUGACCUGUCCCUCUCCUUCGCCAUGCCAUGACACUCAGUAGCUCCUUCGCCCUCCACUCCGCCUCACGCCAAUUACUCGGUCUCACUCCCGCUAGCAUUGGUCAUCCUCGCCAUCAUCCUAGCUCGAUGGGCGUGCUCCUCCUUGUCCACCGCGACCCCCCGCCGCUGAUGAAAACCUCACGGCCCGCCUUUCAACUCCCGAGAGCCUCGGAGUCUCGCACUCCCGCCGGGAAGCGCGCCAUGACAUGAUCGACCUCGCUGACGCCGGUUCCGCCACUACUGUCGCCUGUGAGCGCCAGGGCCUGCAUUUGCCGCCGCGUCGGUCGAAACGAAAACGACCUUGCCGGCGGUCGGCGGCUUCCGGUUGCAAAGCAGAGCGUUCAGAAGGCACGCGAACGAUGCCGACUUCCUUCUGUUCUUCCUCCUGGUCUUCUUUUUCUCCUUGCUUUCCCUGGCAACGCUGGCCCCGAUAUCGGCGGCGGCCGCAAGAGAAGCGAUGGGCUGGUCUGUGGGUGGGGCAGGACGCGGUACGACCUUGGCGGCUUCAGCGGCUGGGCAGUGGUCACGUACGGCGAUGAGCCGGCGAAGGGACACCGGUGGCGAGCCGGCUGCGUCUCGGCAUAUAGCCACACGCCUCAGAUAGACCAACGCCAAACAGAGGAAGAGACGGACAGAACAAGAGUAUGGAGGAUAACAUCAAUUGCAUUUGGCCGCUACAGAGCACCUCACCGACACGAAACACGCCCACCCACCAAGCUCACGCAACACAGCCAAAGAACGCAGGCCCCACGUGAGAUCCAGUAAAAACGGCGUCGUGUCGUUCCUCUUGGUAGUCCAGCCGGGCAUGGUCGCCGCAGACGGGCUCGCACGGCUGCCGCGGACGGUUUCGAGGUGGUGACGCGCAGGCAGGUCAUCGUGGUUGAGUGGGCGCCGGAGGAGGGAUGCUCCGGCACACGGCCGUCGCCGGAUUCUGGACGCACGACGGAGAGCGUGUGCGAGGAGCAGCUCUCCACAAAGACGAGCAGGACGGCGGACUGCCGACGAUCUGGGCAGCCGCAAGGUUACUGGCUCGAGCAGAAUGUGCCGGGCCUGAUGGUGGAGGAUAGUGCGGACGCGUCGCUCGCGUGGCGAGGCCAUGUACUUUGACGCAUCGCAUGGGAACCCUGCAUGGACACAUUCUCGUGCGACGGCCAUGAUAUUGCCAAUGACGGGUGGCUGUCGUGACCGUCCGCUAUGGUUUCUUCGCCGUCGUAGAACUUCAAGGGCUGUCGUCUGUCGAUGUAGUCGCUGUUCAGUGGAUCACCGGAGUGGACGGAGAGAUCGCCUGCACUGCCGUCUUCCGUCGAUGUAGACAGCACGCCGGAACGAAGCGGCCGGCGAGCCGCGGAGCGGAAACGCCGCCCUGAAUGAACCCCAGGCAACUGACCACGCACAGCAGCGUCUGCCAUCACCGACGGAGAAUCCGUAAGAGGAAGACGCAUGCCGGCGCGCCCGAAUCCCAGGAGGACGACCCCGUCCAGACCGGGCAGAAGCAGGAGCAACCAUCGCCGGGUCAGCAGAUGGCACCACUAGUUGGAAAGGAAAGAGCAGAAAUGGGAGGAGCUGGAAUGGAAGACGAACGCACAGUGCAGCCGGUAUUUAUAGCCAGCAGCAGAGAGGCAGAGCACAAAUUGAAAGCAAAUACCGCACAUGCUGCAGAAACACCGAGAAGGCUGUAACAAAGCGGCAACCGACACUGUGGUAGAACCAGAAGGCGCGGGCGGCAACCGACCCCAACACAGCGUACGUGGCGGGAAGAAGGAAAGAGUUGGAAGGAAAAAAGCAAGCAUCCAUGCAGAAUCAGCCAAAAGAGAGACUGGAAGCCGUGGCCAACUCAAUCUCUCCAUGACCAGGACAUGCAACCAAUCAGAAACUGAGGAGAGAGGAGAACAUGCAACCAAUGGAGACCGGAGCCCUCAAUUUACUAUGUUUUCCAGUAGAAAUCGCUAUGCGCACCCGGACGUGUACCUGGCCACAUCCCCCACUAAAGCACGUGUUGCCCACCUAUUGGUCCGAUUUUGACUGAUAAGAAAAGUCAAAAAAACCUGGUAAAUCAAACCUGGCCAGAUUUAGUAUAUUUAGAAUUAUUUCUUAUUAUUUUAAAGAAGGGAAACGUUUGGAGCCGGCGGACCGACCGGUCGCUCGCGCGCCGCUCGAUCGCGAAGGGAUCUAGCGCUAGGAUGUCUCCCGAUCCACGUUUUUCGUUGUUUGUUUUUCCUUUCCUCGGCCCACCCACGUGCCCUAGGCCCAUCAUGACUGUUUAUUUUUCUCUCAUCCUAUCUGGUGCGUCGUACUCUGCCCUCUGUUAUCUUCUUCCCCGCGUGGUCGUCUUCAAGCUCCUUCUCCACAAACCGCUCAUUGAAAAGCUCCGACAUGGGGGGUGGAAAAAGGAGCUGCAACCAGAGCCCAGCGAAGAUGCAUCUGUGGGAGAAUCACCACCGGCGAGCUGCGACCAUGGCGGUCGCAUGCUGGAACCAGUGUCGCGGCAUGCUGGAACCAGCACCAUUUUUUGCUACAUGCAUUCAUGGCGGAGCUACAAUCUGCGACGGCGGAGACGAGUUUUUGCUGCAAUCGUCAUCAGUUUUUGCUACAACCGACGAGAAAUUUUGCUACAUCCAUUCAUGCCAGAGAUGCGACCGGCGAGAAAUUUGCUACAAUCAGCUGCAACCGGCGCGGUCACCACACUCGCCGGUUUCAGCUUUCCGAGAACAUGGAUGAAGCUUUUCAAUGUACAAACACUUUCAAACUGAAAAAGUUGCAACCGUUACCAAAAAAGCUCCAACCUUAGAUAAAAAAAGCUUCAACCAAAAUACGUACAAAGUUUUCAAUCGGGCAUUGCUCCACGGAAAAAGUUGCAAAUGUUCACAGAUAAGCUUCAUUUGUGGUUGAAAAAAGCUUCAACCCACGAGUAGUCCAAGCAACAUUCAGCGAGGAUGGAAGUCGUGGGUUUCAUGCUACAUGCUACAAGCGGUCCUGGAUUUUGCUACGACCGGUGUCGCAUCCAGCUACAUCUGCAGUCAUGGUUUGCUGCAUCGAACAGCGAUGCAUUUUUUUUGCCGGAAGCGAAGCUGGAUUUUUUGCUGGAACAGGGUGAGCGAGAGGUUGUAACCGCGAGGUAUGUGACCGACGAGCUGCGACUGGACGGGCAUGAGCAGUGGCAAGCACGCCGGCGAGCUGUGGCCGUCGCCACCGAAGCUACGAGUGUCACCGCUGAGAGCUGCAACCACUGAUGCAGCUGUUACAUGGGUUGAGGCGGCGACGAGGACGGACGGCAAGGGCAGGGACCGGCGACGAGGACGGCCGGCGAGGGCGGGGACCGGCAACGGGGACGGCCGGCGAGGGUGGCGACCGGCGAUGCGGACGGCCACUGGAGAGCGCGCGGGGCUGAUGAGAUGCGGAGGGUCCUUUUCUCGCGAGCCUGAGGGAAGAAGAUGACCUGGAUGUAUAAGGAUCUAGCGGCUUGGGAGGGGCCGAUCGGGUGGCUAGGGUAGGACCGGCCGAAACGUUCGGCCGGUGCGCCGGCGCCUAGCGGUGCCCUUUAAAGAAACCCAACUGCCCAAGUUCAUCUCCACGUAUAUGUUCUCCUUUGGUCUGCAGGUGUAUUCCCCUUCCGAGGAACAGAUAGAUGGUCACUGGCUCACUGCCCACAUCAAAAACUAAAUAUCCAGAGAUAAGCUUCCAAAUGUUCUUUGCAACCACACACGAGAAGAAUAAAUUAUGACAAUUUCGAAACUCACUACAGAAGACAAAAACAGAUCGUCAACAGUAUGAUAUUUAGCAAAAUUUUCUCUAGUUAAAAAAGUUCUUAUACUAAAUAAACAGCAAAAGGAAGACAUAUGCAUACGUGGAGGAAUAGCAAUAUUCCAAAUAGCAGGUGUGUGUGCACGGACAGUACUCCCGUAUGGUUAUUUUUGGUUUCUUUAGAACACGGUAUUGACAUUGGCACUCGUAUGUACAGUCACCCCAAAAGAAUACACACGCACAUACCACCCCUAUUUGCACCUUCGAGAGACUGAGCCGACAUAUCAUUUUCAGAUUGACGAAAUUACCAAAGACGCCUCGUAGUCGACGGGAACGUCUCCGCCCACAGAACGGGCAUUGCCGGAAAUCCUGAAAUAAAUCAAGAAAAGUGCGAGCACUAGGAUUUGAACCCUAGUAGGCAGGGGAUACCAUUGUCCUCCGUAUACUUCAUUUUUUAACAAAGUAAAACACAGAGGGGUGAUAUGUUUUAUGAUUUCUUAUAUGUAAUGCGUAUCACAUUCUAAGCAAAAAACACAAUGUGUCCUUUAUGCAAAAAAAAAUGCAUUUUAGAGCAUCUUCAACCGUUCGGCCCCACAGGACCCAUAAAAAUCGCCCCCUGGGGGCGAGCCGGCGAUUCUUUCGGCGCCGGGGGCUGUUUUGCGCCCAGUUGUCGCCCCCAGUCGCCGAUUUUGGUCCAUUUUUUAAUCCCCAUUUCGGCGGAAAAGGCCCAUAUAGGCGAGAAUAGGCACAUAUUCGGCGUGGUUCGCCGUGGCUCGGCGCUCAAUUAUCAACAUAAAUAAUUUUUUAUCACAUAUUUCAUCACAGAAAUUUCAAUUACUUCAACAAAAUAGUACAACAACAAAUAGUUCAAUACAAAUUAUAUAGUUCAACAAAUAAAAACUCAUACUUCAUCACACGUCGCGCCCGGUGUCGCCCUUGAGCCUUCAUAGGUGCUCUAUCAGAUCUUGCUGCAGUUGAUGAUGCACCUGUGGGUCUCGGAUCUCUUGACGCAUACUGAGAUAGGCAAUCCAGGUUGCCGGUAGCUGGUGAUCAACUUGGGCAAGAGGACCCUGCCGGUGGUAUGGUUCAGUGUCAAACACUGGCUCUUCCUGCUCGCUCUCAAUGAUCAUGUUGUGCAAGAUGACACAGCAGGUCAUGAUCUCCCACAUUUGAUCUUUCGACCAGGUCUGAGCGGGGUACCGAACAACAGCAAAUCGAGAUUGGAGCACACCAAAUGCCCGCUCGACAUACUUCCUGCAAGCCUCCUGAAUCUUCGCAAACCAGGCGUUCUUGCCUCCAGGCACAGGGUUUUUGAUGGUCUUGACAAAUGUCGACCAUCUCGGAUAGAUGCCAUCAGCUAGAUAGUACCCCUUGUUGUAGUGCCGCCCAUUGAUCUCGAAGUUCACCGGAGGAGAAUGACCUUCAACAAGCUUGGCAAGGACAGGAGAGCACUGCAGCACGUUGAUGUCAUUUUGAGUUCCUGGCAUACCAAAGAAGGAGUGCCAAAUCCAGAGGUCCUGUGUGGCCACCGCCUCAAGUACCACACUGCAACCGCCUUUGGCGCCUUUGUACAUCCCCUGCCAAGCAAAUGGGCAAUUCUUCCAUUUCCAAUGCAUGCAGUCGAUGCUUCCAAGCAUCCCAGGAAAUCCUCUUGCUGCAUUCUGUGCUAGGAUCCGAGCAGUGUCUUCCGCAUUGGGUGUUCUCAAGUAUUGCGGUCCAAACACUGCCACCACUGGCCGACAGAACUUGUAGAAACACUCUAUAUGCGCCCAGACCUGGUCGUAGCCAUGAGCCCAUAGUCGUCCUGUGAGUCACCGGGAGCUCCGUAUGCAAGCAUCCUCAUCGCUAUCGUGCAUUUUUGGAUGGAGGUGAAUCCAAGUUUGCCGGUGCAAUCCAUCUUGCAUUUGAAGUAGUUGUCGAACUCCCGGAUGGAAUUCACAAUCCUGAGGAAAAGCUUUCUGUUAAUGUUCUGUCGCCGUGAAGUGGAGCAUCGGCGAAGUAGUCGGAGUAGAGCAUGCAGUAGCCUUCGAGACAAUGCCGGUUCUUUGCUUUCACCCGCCCUGACGCCGAGCCACCUCGCCGCGGCUUUUCAUUGCUCGCCAGCAGCUGGGCGAGGGCAGCGAGCACCAUGAGAUGCUCUUCUUCCUGGACGUCGACCUCGGCUUCCUCCUCGAGCAGCGCGGCGAGCACUUCCUCGUCAUCCGAGUCCAUCGCUGAGGCAGGCAAAUCGCCGAACACCUUGCGCGCGGUGGGCGUGCACCCGCCGCUAAACUGCCCCUCUGCGGCCGGAAACGGCGGCCGAAAACGCCCAACUGGUGCCGGAGUGGCUGUCGCAGCGAACCUAUGCUAUUUUUCCGGCGGGGAAUGGCUAUCUACCGGUGAAGGGCGGCGAGGAGGCGUCGGGAUAUACCUAGUUGCGGCCGAGAGCGCGGAGGGUGGGAGGCGGUCGGGGAAGAAAAUCUUGACUUUUCACCUGACGGCGUAGGCCAGCCACGCUUUUCCCUUCCGCCGGAGCCCCCAAGCGCCCCCCAGCGCGCCGGGUUCGGCCUGCGGCCGCCGGGCGGAAAAAAGGGCCGAACCGACGCUUUUCGUCGUCCUGGGGGCGCGACUGGGCCGUUUUGUCGGGGGUGCGGCCGGAGAUGCUCUUAUCUUGCAUGUAAUUGUCACACUUACUAAAAUACACUAUGUCGUUUUAUCUGCGAAAAUGCAUUGUAUCUUGCAUGUAAUUGUCACAUUAAUUACUUAAUUAACCAUAUAUAAAUUUCACCAAACAAAUCUUGCAUUCUCCAUGUAAGUGAUAGCCAAACUGAUAGUGAUGCGCUGAUAUUUAGGCACACCGUUAAUAGAAAAAUAGCACACAAAAAUAUAACACCUCUCAUCUUUUUCACCCAGAAAAAGUGAUACUAUUACAUAUAACUUAACUCAUAAUUUACAUAUUGCUACCUUUGUCUCAGUUUAUUAGUCACCAUGGUAUUUUAGGUGAAAGUUUGACCACAUUUUUGACUAGCAAAAUGUUAAUACAUGUCGUCAAAAAUUAUAUUAUGGACUCGUAUUUGAAUAUAGUUUUAGAUGAUAUUAUUUUUGCUACAUAUAACUUAUUUUUUAUUAGUUAAAUCAUGGUUAGAAUAUGACCCUAGUAAACGACGACAGAGGUAAUACAAAAGUGCUUUUCGAUGGCCACCGGGGAAAUAUAGUUCUCACUCCUAUCCAUAUUAAUUAUCGCAACUUUUCUACAACUUCAAUAAAAAGUUAUAUUGAAGUUGCAACAACUAAUAUGGAUAGGAGGGGGUAUUAAAAAAGUACAUAUCACAAAAGUGCUUCAGAACUCCAUCCCGAGGUCGUCGUUGUGCCUCUCUGCGGUGUCCAUAUCGGCGGUUCCAGAACCACACAGCCGAUUGUUGUAGCGCCGUUGUUGUGCACCAUCCUUGGGUAGAUGCCAGAAAGAGUCAAGCACCCUCUUCUCGUCUUCUUCAUCGUCGAUCCCACCCCACCUGCCUCCCCUCCUCCUCCUCCUCCUCCUCCUAGCUCACGUGCACUAGAUGUGUGGGUGGGGAGCACUACAAGAGUGGAAGGUAGGCGUUACUCCUCCGAGCCAGAUCCGUCGAGCUGGCUGGAUGCGUGGUGCUCGGUGGGGACAGACAGAAAGGGGAAGGCCACUGGCUAGAUGCAGGCGAAUGGAAGGCCGCUAGCUCAAGGAGGCAUGGAGGGAAGGUGGUACCGGGAGGGUUGGGGAUGGGGCGACGGUGCAAGGAUGGAUUGGUAGUGGGUGGAUAAGGUGGCUUGAGCUUUUCUAUUAGGAACCCUGCACGCACUAUGGGCGUGUUUGGUUACAUUCUCAGUGGAGCCUACCCUAGUGGAGCCUGUUUAACUGUAUAUAGGCUUUGGGUCAUGUUCUGCAUGUUGUUUAGUAGGUUGCACCAAGCCCAACUUGCAUCCUUCCCGUAGUGUAAAUUGCACUAGACCCAGUCUGCAUCUAGAAGAACGGUCAAUCUGAGGGCGUUCCUUGCGAGUCAGGCUGAGAGCGCUUUAAGUUUCGUGUAAGUCAGUUUCUACGUGGGAGCUAGGCAACCAAACAACUCACUACUUUGCCCGCCAGAGUCUGAUUGGGCUUGAUACAGCCUACCAAACGUGCCCUAUGUUGCAAGAUCAACCAAUGGCCAACACUUGUUCUCGUAGGCCCCGUCACUAAAUAAAAGAAAACAUUUUUUCCUCUAAAAAAUAAAAAACUUUUUGUAUUUUCUUUUUUUUUACUGAAAAAUAUUUCUCAUAUCUUAUCCCCACCCGCAAACUCUUCUACCGGCCAUUAUUCUACCAAGUUUGAGCUUCCGCCAGAGAGGAAUCCACCAAGGUGAGGUCUGCAACCCAUGGUCGUGGACGUGAUCGGUGGCAAGAAGGGAGCUUUUGUGGCUAGUGCCCCCCGCCGAAGGUGAACGCAAUCCCAGGCAAAGGCAGUGGCAGUGGCUCACAAGCCGCAAUUUCCCAACUAAGCCGACCAGCUCCCUGGAAGGUUGAACUGUAGGGCAUGCAUGCGAGCUCAACUUUUUUUCAAAACAGAGGCAAAAGAUUUUCCUCAUCUAUUAAUUAAGGAGAAGAGAGUUGCCCGGUGAAUUAACGGGAAACCAGGCUAAAACUAUCACAAUCGCUGAGCGACACACAUAAGAUACCCCACACACGCCACUCAAGAGGGCCUCGUCGAGACAGCACGGAGGCAUCAUCGUCAUUACUCCUCCCCUAGAAGGCAUCUUAGCCAUCCCUAAACUCUAAGCAAACGACUCCGACUUCGCCGUAGGCGAUCACCGAUUCAAUCCACUAUGAAAAGGCCUUGUGGAGUUGCAUGAAGAUCCAUGCCAGAACUCAGCCACCUGCGACCAGACAACGCAGCUCCGACUUUGAUAGAGAACUACGAAGGACAAAACCAGGCACGGCUGGGGCCACGAAAGAUCUAGGUGGUCAACUUGAUGAAGCACUGCUUGGCCAAGAUGACAUACACGAGCAGGAUGAACAAAUGCUUGCCCAAGACCAUGAGCCCUGAUCCAAGGCUGAGGCUAGUGCCUGGGAACAUCUUGCCCGGGAGAGGAGCGACAGGGGCAAGUACCAGGGGAGUAGGUGGCCGCAUCGGCAUCAGCACCCGCGGCAUUCUGCAACGUCGCACAGCUUGAUGAGAGGUGCCUUGGGCGUACUCCUCCUCAUCUACACAACACGGUCGUAGCGUAAUGCUUGGAAUGUGUUGUGCAGGAGUGGCCUUGAGGCAGGCUAUGUUGGCUGAGGAAUCUACUAGGGGUUCCUUCUACGCCUAAGCAUGGCGGAGUAGGAGCGCUCAUGGCCUUGAUCGUCAGUGUCACUGCCGAAGCCCUCGUCACCAAGCUCCUCAUGAUGGUACCAUAUAUCCCCUCUCAUGAGUUCGUUCUGGGACGAAUGAUUUGCACUUGUUCACUAUGCAACACGAACAAUCAAUUUGGACCUAGCAAACCAUAGAAACACUGAAAAAUGGUCUUGAUUCUUGACGCUAACAAUAUAUAUGAAUGUAUAAAAUGGGUCUAUCUAUGAUUCUAUACAGUAACAAAUAUGUGGUAGAUUUCUGAAAUUGUUAUCACUUGUCCAUGGCAAAAUUAAAGAAAAUGGUCUAAAACAUGGCAAAUGUUGUAAAGUGACAUGGCAAAUCAUAUUUUUCAUAUAUGUUCGGUGUGGCGAUUCCUGGAAUGGACUGUGAUGUCGAAUCAUUUCCAGGAGUGUGAUGUCGAAUCAUUAGACCCAAGAAAAUUGUUGAUGUUCACCUACAAUGUUUCGUACAAGUUUUGCCAUGUAUAUCUAGAAACACGACAUUUUUUUUCUACAAAUGUUUUUUAGUAUUGGUACAUGGCAAAUUUAAGUUAAACUGGUUCUCAAAUUCAUGGCAUUCUUGUAUAUAGUGGCAUGGAAAUUUUUAAAAUAUGACUUGUGAAAAUUUAGAGAGUUCUGUUUUUCUCCAAAAAUGGCAACUUUUUAUAUGUGUUUGCCAUGUUUAUAGAAUUUUCUCCAAAAUUGUUGCUAUGUUUUGAAAUUUUUGUUAUAAACCAUGUCAAAAAUAACAUGAGAUGUUCUAAAAAACAUGGCAAAGAUCUAAUUGUAUUAGAUGUAAGUUCAUUAGAUGGCGAAUUUACUUGUUUUUAGCUAUCAACUAGCCAGGGUAAACUUUUUGAUGUUUUACCAUGGACACUUUCAAGUUUUAUAUGACAAUUUUUUAGUAACUGUUCUCAUGGCAAUUUAAUGUAACGACCUUGGCAUUUUCUACCUGUGGCUACCAUGGCAAGUUUACAUAUUUUAUAAUUUCCAAAAAUCAUGCCAAAUUUAUAAAUUUCUGUAAUGUUCAAGUGGCAAAUUUUAGAAAAAAUCUUUAUGUUCCAAUGGAAAUUUUAUGAUUUUUGUUUUGUUUUCAUAGCUACCAACUUUUUUCUUAGCAUGACAAGUUUUAGAAACUUUUUUUAUAUUCACACGGCAAAUUGAUAAAAUUGUUAUUGGGAUUUCUACAUAUAGCAUUCAAUUUUGUUUUGAAGGAGCAUGGCAAUUUUUUAUCUAUAUCUUGGUAAAUUUAUUUCUUAUGGUAAUUUAUUAGAAAAAAAAACUAUAAUGGCCACACGACCUUUUUAUGAACGAUGUUUUCCUAAUUCAUGGUAAUUCUUGAAACAACUUUGUCCUUAUCUCACAGGAGUUUCUUAAGACACUUUUGUUUCCAAAGUCACGGCAAUUCUCGGAACAAAUAGUGUACCACCAUGGCAUUUUUUGCAUAUACCAGGGUAAAUUCUUUUUUAAUGUUUUGCUUUUACCAUGACUUUUUUAUAUUGAAGAUACCUUGGACAUUAUUGAACAUGUGGUAAAACUAUCUGUAGCAUACCAAAUUCCUAAAUUUGCAAUGGUUUUUAGAUAAUUAUUUUCUAGAGCAUCAUGGCAAGUAGUAAAUAAUUACAUUUUGCCCUAAAAAGUAUUUUCCUAGGGGAAUAUUUUAUGUUAUUUUUUACAAAACUUGUUACAUGGAAAAUUUAAACAUUUUUUUGUAAUGUUCACAUCUCAAAUUGAUUUCUACCGAUGACAAAUUUAGAAAAAGAAAUUCUCUUGGUCACAUGGAAAAUUCACAAUAAUUUGGUCGUUCAAAUAUGGUAAAUUUUAGGUCUUUUUGUAAUGCUCACAUGACAAGCUUUAGGAUGAUUUAGUACUUAUCCAUUGUAAUUUUACAAUUUUUAUCAUGUUACUUUUAGUAGGUUCCACGGCACUUAUAUAAAUUAUACCAUGUCAAUUUUGUUAGUUAGACCAUGAUAUUUUUUUAUUACUAGGAAACAUGCCCGUGCGUUGCAACGAGAGAAAACUGCCCUCACUCGCCCUUACCUACUGAGCAUGGCUAAAGACCUCACCCUCAUGCCCAUAACAAAAUAAACAUGACUAAUACCUCAUUCUCAGGUCCACGUCCUCCAUUUCAAUAUAACACCAAACACAUGUUUCCGCUUGUUUUCUUUGUUGUACUCAUCGCCAAUGGUUGUAGUACCGCUUGUCACUAACCAAGAUUGGCAAGGUCCAAUAGCUGGAUUGUUGAGCCGCAUCCGAUGAAGAUCAAGAGCACCGAACACAAUUUUUUUUAUCAUCUAGCUAAUAUAAUAGGGAAAAGCACUGCACAUAAUAUAUGUCCGUGUCAUCAUCUAAAUUGAGUAGUUUGUGUGAGGUAGACCAUGAAAUCCUAGUUGGACUCCUCAUGCAUUUUGACAGGAGUCACUGGGCCGAGUGAAACUGGUUGUACGCGAAGACGCGACAGAGAAAAAUAUUCCUUCCAUAUCCCUAGUUUAACAAAAUGAAGUAAAACAAAGUAUCAUAUGGGCAUAUUUCAAAAAUCUGCCAAGUUUUAUUAAUAUAGGUAUAGAUUUAAAAAAAUAGCUACAGUACCUCCCAGUUUUAGAAAAAAACAUGUUUACAAAAAAGUUUGCCUUUUCAAAUUUGAAGUUCAAAAAAUAUUUGUGUUUUUAAAAUGUUUGCAAAUUCGAGAAAUAAUCACAACAGUACCUCCUAUUUUUUUAAAAAAAAUUGUGUUUUAAAAAAUACUCAGGUUUCAAAAAAAAUAAAAAGACAAAUAUUGUUCUUUAAAAAAUCUUCUGCUGUAAUUUUUUAUUAACAAUUUAGCAAAAUGUUCGCGUUCUAAAAUAUUUUUACUUUAAGAAAAAAAUCCUCAGAGUAUCUGGGGCGACUGUAUACUUAAUUUAAAACUUCGUAGUGCUAUUUGAACACCUAGUGUUCUUUAGUCUAGUGGUUAGUAUUUGAGUGCUCUAGCAUGAGCGGUUCGGGGGAGCUCCUAAGCCGCGCCUUUAGCGCCCUUAACGCGUACUGGCGCCCACGCGCUGCCUACCUGAGCCUGGCCCAACAAGGCCGACGUGCCUGGCUAACCGCUCUCAGGGUUUAAACGCUGCCCAGUGUAAAUUAACGAAAAAGCAGUAAAAAGGUGUGCCUCUCAGGAUUCGAACUAGAGACCAAGUCUUCCUAUACAAGUGAGCCUAACCACAAGGACAACUUAACUUUAGUGAACUAUUGAAGCGCCAACAGUAUAAGAACGAGCGUCCGGUUCAUCAAAUUUGAAAAAAGUUCAUAGAAUUUGAAAAAAGUUUGUCGAAAUCUAGAAAAAUUCAUCAAAAUCUAGAAAAGUUUCAUCAAAUUUGAAAAAAGUUCGUGGAAUUUAGAAAAAUGUAUUUUUUUUUGUUCGUGAUUUCAAAAUGUGUUCAUAGUUUUAAGUUUACUCACUUUUUCAAAUUUUGUUCACAAUUUUAAAUUGUUCAGUGUACAUCAAAAAAUCUUCAAUGGGUAUUUAAAUGGUUUUUCAGCGCAUAUCACAAAAUUGUUCAAUGUGUAGUUAAAAAUUGUUCAGUACAAAAAUGUUCAAUGUAUAAAAUUUGUUCAUCUUAUAUAAAAAAAAUGUAUAAAUAUGUUUUAAAUUAUUUCAAUGUAUACCACAAAAAUGUUCGCUGUGUAGUUAAAAAUUGUUCAUCGUACACCAAAAGAAUGAUUUGUGUAUAUUUGAAAAUUGCUCGUCCUAUAUAAUUUUUUGUUCAUUUUCUCAAUAAUUACUCACGUUUUAAGAAAUUAUGGAAUUUGAAAAUUUUAAAAAGUUCACCAAUCAUCAAAAAAGUUCAUCAAGAUUAAAAAAAAGUUCAUCGAUUUGAAAAAGAGUUCACGGGUUUUCAAAAAAGGGUUCACGAAUUCGAAAAGUUCAAUUUUUUUGAAAAAAAUGUUCAUAAAGUUGGAAAAGGUUCAUCGAUUUUGAAAAAAAGUUCAUCGAUUUGAAAAAUAUUUCACGGAUUUACAAAAAGGGUUCAUGAAUUCAAAAAAAGUUCACCAAUCUUGAAAAAAGUUCAUCAAAAAAUGGAAAAAGGUUCAUAGAUUUUGGAAAAAAGUUUAUCAAUUUGAAAAAUGUUCAUUUAUUUUUGAAAAAUUCACAUAAAAUCAAAAAGUUCUUCAAAUUUGACAAAAAACCUCACAAAAGUUUUAAAAGAUCGUCGCUUUUUGAAAAAAAUGCCCAUGCAUUCGAAAAAGAAAAAACAAUUGUAAAGAAACUAAAAAAACAAACAAUGAAAUAAAAAACCAUCACAAAAAGCUGUCCAGAAAAAACAAAAACGAAAAAAGCGAGCUGGUAGCUUCCAAAGACCGAGCUUCCACGAACUGAGGACAACAUAAGAAGAAAAACGAAGAUAUUAGACGCAAGCGUGAAGGAGUGCUGGUGGUUAGUGCCUUUGCUGACGAAACGGGUGGUCUUGUGUUCGAAUCUUGUUGCCCGCACCAUUUUUUGGAAUUUAACAGAAGAAGAAAAAAAAACGUUAAAUGGGCUGGCCCAUGUAGCAUCGAUGGAAGGAGGCGGGGUGUGCGCCCGUUGCAACGGGCGCCGUAUAGGAAAUGCCGCGGUUCGGUUCGAUUCCUCGCGCAGUAGACUUUUUCUUGGAAAUUCUUUUGACAGAUGGGCCGGCCCAUUGUGGCUCUGUGCGUCCAGUGUUUUUUCUUUUGACAGAAUCAGGAGCACGAGGAAACGCCUGGGACGUACGAAAACUAUGUGGGUCCCACCGUGAACGAAAAAAAUUGGAGAAACAAUCCUCCCUUUAAUAUUAGGUAUGUAAAGAUAAAAAUAGGUAGCAUGACACAUUUAUUACUUAGACCGUGGCAAUUUUGUUAAUUAUAAUGUGGGAGACUUAUUUUUCUGUAGCAUGGCAAAAAAAAAAUUUUGUCUCAUGUCACUUAUGGCAAAUUCAUAAAAAAUGUCUUUCCAGACAUGGAAAUUUUAGUUAUUUUUUAAAAUUAGAUGCCAAAUAAUGGACCAUGACAAUUUGAACACUUUAUUUGCAAUGGUAAAUUUGCCGUGUGUUAUUUACAUACAUCUCAAAUUUGCCAUGUUUCUAGAGUACAAUCUUUCUUUAAAUUUCGCCACACAAUUAAUUUUUUACUUGUUAAUAAACCUUCACCUUUUGUUUUAAAAAUAGCCAUUCAAUUUUUCUCAUGUUUGCCAUGCUAUUAGUACAAAUCUUUUUCUAAUUUUGCCACGUUUCCUAGAGAAGAAAAACUCUCUUUUCUAGUACAUAUGAUUUUCAAUUCCAAAUAGGCAGCAUUUUUAUGCUCUAUAACAUGGAUAAUUUUUUUUUGUAUAAGAUGGCAAUUUUUUAUAUUGUUUUAUUUUUUUCCUACAUCAUGAAAAAACUUUUUUUAACUUUUUCUAUGUUUUAUAUACAAAGGAAAUGACGAUUGAGCUGCAUCCCGAAACAAAUCAAAUGAUGUACCUGGAGGCCUCGAAAAGCCCUAUCUAGCAAAAAAUGUGUGUUGUGGUUUUUUCUACUGCAAACCAAAACGUUCGUUGGGGGCUGCUUCUCCCAGCUAACGAAUCAUUCGCUCGCCCUUGCACACCCAGGUAACGUCCGCCAGCUAUCGAGGUCCUAACAUUACACCUAAGAAUCCCAAUCACUUAGGUGCAAAUAGACUGAGGUUGUAAAUUUCCCACGCGGUUUGUCAACCGCCUCCAAUAAUACGAGUAUCACCUCGAAUUGUAUAGAGUUAGAUGGCCAAAGCGCCUACAGUUUUUGUACCAAAAACGCCAUUGAAACAUUUAUUUGCGCUAGUGAGAUAUUUGAAACAGCUUGCUCCCAUAUACCUAGCUUCGCCGAUGCACAGAAGCGCAACCACACAAAUCUACAAACUUGUAGAAAUGACUAGUUGAGAAACAAUAUGUUUAUGGUAUUAAAAUUACUAGUUAAAAAAUAAAAUGUUUUGUCUUGAAACUUGGAGAUUCCUAUAAAUAAAGGCAAUACAUAUGAGCUAUCGACCAAGAACAAAUUCAACUUGACUCUACAAACUGUGUGCUAUGCUAUGAUUGUUCUAAUGAGGAUAGAUCCCAUCUUUUCUUUGGCUGUUCGUUGAGCCAAGGUUUUUGGUGGAGUCUAGGUUUUGAAUGGAACAUUGACUGCAAUAUUCAUGAGAUAUCACUGAUACUCAGAGGAGAUACCAGCUUGACUUCAUGGAAAUUAUGAUUAUUGGCUGCUGGUCUGCUGGAGCAUAUGGACAGAAAGGAAUGGAGUUAUUUUUUAGCACAACCAGUGCACCAUACAAUCCUGCUUGUCUAUCUUCAGAGACAAUUUCUUUUCUAUGCUUAGAGGUAAACCUAGUCUCAAAAGGGGCACGAUGUCCUGGUUAGAUAAUGUGUGAACUUUAGGCAUUCAGCUCCCGAUGCAGUAAUAACUUAACUGUAGUGGAGCCGAACCCAAACUUUAGAUAUUAGCUCUCCUCCCCCCCUCCAUGUAAUCUUCUUUGUAAAUAUCCUUUCUUAAUAUGAAAAUGACACGGUAGGGGCUGGAAAAUGCCAACUGUGACCGAUCUCAUGGGAGCUCAGUAUUUUUAAAAGUUCAAAAGGCAUAUUUCAAAUUUGCAUAAAAAUUCAAAAAAAUCCAUGGAAACUUGUACAUGUUCCGCACGAACGUGUGAAAAACCGUUUGAAAACAUUGUGAUUUGUGGGCUGGUAAAAAGACAAAAUUCUGGCCCAAGAAAAAAGUCGGUGCAUUUUAGAAAUACGUGCUUGGCAUUAUUUUGUACGCCACGCGUGAAAGUGUACUAUUAUGAAUUUUUGCACACACAUAAUACACGUGCAUGAAUGUUCACAAAAUAUUUCGAGUUCCUUUCACGCUGUAGAAAAUUGGUUUUUGAAAAUGAGCUCCCUGGAGCUUGGUCUCCAAAAGCUCGCACUCCUCUCCCUAGUGCUUUUGGUAAAAAAAAAGUCUUGAAACUUGGGAGUCCCAACUAAACUUAGCACCAUAAUGGGGGGCAAAUAAAAUAAUUAUUUUCCUAUUUUGAGACAGAACUUUGGAUCGAUCCAAUGUAGUCCUAAAAUUUUACUCCAAUUUAGGACUUGCUGAAUACGUAUUACUAUAUUUUGGAGAAUAGUAUUAAUUAAUUAGGCAAUUGAGCCGUAUAUUAAGUACCAAAUAAUGUCAUAGAAAAUCUUAUGAAUAACUGUCGAUAUGACUAAUUAGGCCACCCCUAUAUUAAGUACCCAAAUAACUCUCGAUAUGACUAAUUAAGUAGGCAAUUAACCCCUAUAUUAAAUCCUUAAUAACGUUCUGCCUUCUAAAUACGGACGCGGCAGGGUGGCCCUCCGGCCCUAUAUAAACCCCGGACGCCGGACGGAGGGAGUAAGCAAGUUGCGCAGUAGCAAACUAGCCAAGCUAGCAGCAAAAUGGCCGCCGUCCACAAGAGCAUUGCACCGGCGGUACUCCUCCUUCUCCUGCCGCUGAUGCUGUCUUUCACGGCGUCGGCACGGCACUUGACUCCCACCGCGGAUUACUCGGUGCUGAGGAAGGUGCCUCGUGGACCAGACCCCAUAAUGUCCGACCCACCGCCUCGGCCGCCAGCCAAGAGCACACAUUUUCCGGUGCUGAGGAAGGUGCCUCGUGGGCCAGACCCCAUAACAUCUGACACGCCCCCACCGCCGGCCACGAGCGUGCACUUCUCCGUGCUGAGGAAGGUGCCUCGUGGGCCGGACCCUAUAACAUCGGACCCACCGCCGCCGCCAGCCACCAGCCCACACUUCUCGGUGCUUCGGAAGGUGCCUUUCAGACCAGAUCCCAUAGUAUCUUAUGCUCCACCGCCACCGGCGACAAGCGCUCACUUCUCGGUUCUCCGGAAGGUCCCCCGUGGGCCGGACCCCAUCACGUCCGACUCACCGCCGCCACCUCCGAGGGACCUCUCGGUGCUCAGGAAGGUUCCUACCGGACCAAACCCAGAGACGUCCGACUCACCGCCACCACCUCCGAGGGACUUCUCGGUGCUCGGGAAGGUUCCUACCGGACCAAACCCAGAGACGUCCGACUCACCGCCACCACCUCCGAGGGAUUUCUCGGUGCUCAGGAAGGUUCCUACCGGACCAAACCCGGCGACGUCCGACUCACCGCCACCACCUCCGAGGGACUUCUCGGUGCUCAGGAAGGUUCCUACCGGACCAAACCCGGUGACGUCCGACUUACCGUCGCCACCACGGCUGCCAGCUGCAGCUUCUCCGGCGUGAUGCAAUUACCGGCGCCAUGCAUGUUACAUGUGAUGUAGCUACCUUGUAGUGUUA